UUUGAUUUUCUCACGUAAGAUAAGACACCAGGUUUGCAAGUGCAUUCCUAGCAUAAAAACACCGGCUCCAAUCCAAUUACCAGGUUGGCAAGUUUCAAAGUCCCUGCAUUGAACAUUUUUUCAUAACUUGUUAGAUUAUAAUUGAAAAAACCCAGAGAACACUCAUUCAUUCUUGACACCGACAAACUCGGUACUCUCCUCUCCUAGGGCAAUGAAAAUUUUCUUGUUGUACCAUACAAAACACCGACAAACAGCUCAGGAAUUCCUUGAUGCAAUGAAUAAUAUGAUCAACUUAACUCUUGAUGCAGUUAACCCAGAAAGAAAAUUCCCAUAACGAUGCACAUCAUUUCACAUCCCAACCUUCACAAUGAAGAUGUUACUUCCACCAGAUUUGAUCAAACAGGAACACGCAUGCAUCAACUACUUCUCAGAUGAGGUGAUAAAAAACAUCUCGAGUCCACUACACAUCCCAGGAAGCACAGGUACUUCGCGUCUCUUGCGCGGCAGCGUGGUGCUAGCCGGACAACACAUCGGCGUGGGCAUGGCACAACCCUGAGCUGCCGGUGGAUGUACACGACGCUGCUUAGAUCCACCGUUGCCAUCUACAACGUGGAGAUUGAGGAGAGGUAAGGAGGUGGAAGGUGUGGGGCGGGGCGGGGCUGGUCGAGAUCAAGGGGGCGUCCAUUUAUAGAGUAGACGAGAGGAGAGGAGAGGGGAGCGUAGGCAGCGAUGGGAUGAACGGACGGAUGCGUCGGUUUGGGAAGAGGAUAGAACUAAUGGGGUGCCUAGUUUCAAGGAGGAAGACGAGGGAAUCAAGGGAGGCUCUCUUGAUGGAAGGAAGGAAGGAAGGAAAGAGGUGUAUUCAUCCAGCCGUGGAAAACGCUAGCUGCAUGCAGUAAUUAUUCCUUUAAUUUCCUUGUCGCCAGAUUGACGCACACGCGCGAUGGAUUCCCUCUCUGACUCUCUCUAUGGUAUGGUAUGGUAUGUACUGCACAAACGAUUUAGUCCCAGCGCUCCCAGAAAUUACGCCGGCCACGUAAAGGUAGCCAGGCACUUUCCAUGUGUGUAUGCAGUAACUUCUUCCCAUUUGCUCGUGUCAGUUUUUAUUUUUUUAGGGAAUUUGCUCGUGUCUGUAUCUUUAUUUUUAUCUGUUUGAAGGAAUUUGCUCAUCUAAGACAAGACUCGUUCUCUAUAUAGCCAGGUGGGUUUUUUCUGUUCACAAUUUGAUUUUCUCAUGUAAGAUAAGACACCAGGUUUGCAAGUGCAUUCCUAGCAUAAAAGGUUUUUCUGUUCACAAUUUGAUUUUCUCACGUAAGAUAAGACACCAGGUUUGCAAGUGCAUUCCUAGCAUAAAAACACCGGCUCCAAUCCAAUUACCAGGUUGGCAAGUUUCAAAGUCCCUGCAUUGAACAUUUUUUCAUAACUUGUUAGAUUAUAAUUGAAAAAACCCAGAGAACACUCAUUCAUUCUUGACACCGACAAACUCGGUACUCUCCUCUCCUAGGGCAAUGAAAAUUUUCUUGUUGUACCAUACAAAACACCGACAAACAGCUCAGGAAUUCCUUGAUGCAAUGACUAAUAUGAUCAACUUAACUCUUGAUGCAGUUAACCCAGAAAGAAAAUUCCCAUAACGAUGCACAUCAUUUCACAUCCCAACCUUCACAAUGAAGAUGUUACUUCCACCAGAUAUGAUCAAACAGGAACACGCAUGCAUGUGCGCGCGCACACACAGCGCAGUGCAAUACAUCUUCACCAAAACAAAGUUAAAUAUCUAUGUCAUCAACUACUUCUCAGAUGAGAUGAUAAAAAACAUCUCGAGUCCACUACACAUCCCAGGAAGCACAGGUACUUCGCGUCCUUCCAUCACAAACAUUACAACAUGACAGAGCCAAACUACUACAUACAUGGCUUAAUUCUGAAACCUAACCCAUCAAUGGAGAAAGCUCGAGGACGACGCCGCCAUCCAGUGCAUCUUUAUCAGCAGAGAAAGCCCGAGGACGACUGCACCAUCCAGUGCAUCUUCAUCAGCGGAGAGAGCCCGAGGACAACGACGCCAUCCAGUGCAUCUUCAUCAGCGAAGAAAGCACGAGGACGACGGCGCCAUCGUGUGCAUCUUCAAGCCCAAACCGCGUCAACUUCUGCAGCACCGCUUGGCAAGAGAAAAUGACCGGUGUCGCGCGCGAUGGAGAUUUUCCAUCAUGUCCGGUAGGUUUGAUGGACGAAAGGAGUAUCUUCCCGAGGAAUGCAAUCUGGGUGGACAUAAAAAGAUCAGUCUAGUGCAGAGGCAAUGUAAUGCAUCAGAGGAAUGUCAGAUUUCUCAGCAGUAAGCCACACAACAAUUCUCUUGUGUCAAAGGGAAUUUAUAGGAAUUAACAAGACAACAUCUUCCCCUAAAAACAAUGCAUACUUAUUCACCAGCCUAGGAAUGCAAAGUGCUCGUUCCAGUUCCACACAAUGAAAGUUAAGUGUUGGACCUGAUCAAGACAAGACAAAAUUGCCAUAGAUAGGCUCACUUGUGUGACCAGCAGAAGAAUUUUCGCUACAAGAUCUCAUCUUGGCUUGUCAAAUCUCAUACUAGACAAAUUGUUGGACACUAGUGAAAACAAGCAACAUCUCCGGGUAAUUGACGACCGGGACACGCAGGACAUGAGAGAGAGAGAGAGAGCAAAGAGAGAUACCUUGACGAUCUCCAUGGUGUCGGCAGCGGGGUCGGAGCAGCUGCUGCGUCCAUGGAAGAGGAGGCACACAGUGGUCUACGCCUGAGGACACCAACAUUAUCAAGUUAGUAUGUGUCGUUAGUAUCAACCUGAAGAUAAAUCUGCUGCAGAGUUUUCAGUUUUCUGAAGAAAGAAGGAACUAAAAGUUUCAGGUUUCUGCAGUUUAGUCGUCUCUGAACAUAAAUUGCAGCAAGCAAGCAAGCAAAUAUGGAUAGGCAUGAGAGGGAGUAAGGGCCACUGAUGAUGAAUGCUGAACUAGGAUGAGCAGAGCCUGCACUCACCACCCACAUAGAAGGCAAUAACAGAAUCCCUUCCCCUGGCAUGAGCUUCGGAUCAGCGGUGGCAUAUGAUCUUGCCUAUUGAGGAUCCUCCAUGGACAAGGGAAGGUGUCAUCAGACCACCGCAGUCCAAUUAGUGCUAUACGGCCUGCACAAGGAUCACAUGAGACAUGCAUGGUGAAUGCUACAGAAAAACAAGACAAGCGUUUGCUCAAUACAGAAAAACAAGACAAGCGUUUCCUCCAUCGUGGGAGCAGCGGCGACCCGGGAAUAAGCAGACCCGGAGGAGCGAAGCAGCGGUCUUCUAGGUCAAAUCGAAACAACCACACAAGCACUUGACAAAGCAGCAUCACAAGCUGCCAAAAUGCAACAUCACAAGCACUUGAGUUAUAGUCAAGACCGUCGACAAAAGGGAACAUCAGGCCAUAGUAAGGUUGCUGCGAUGGUGAUUCGAUAAAACAUCACAUACUUUUCUGUACACAGGGCUCCUCUUUUCGUCCUUGAGGGAGUUCUUCUCCUCCACCAAAUCCAUCAUCUCCUCUUUCAAAACAUUGUUAUCAGCGGGAUGGAGUGCUCCUUCCCUGAGGCGGGCGUCUGGAACGGCGGUUCAUAUCAUGUCCUCAAUGUCCUGCACUCCACCUUGGUCAUCAUUGAGGGUCUCUGUUGGGCAAACAUCAACGUCAAAGCAGAGAAAUGGAGUCACACCAAUGGACAUGGCAGCAUUUAAGAAAUGGAAAUACAUAACUAGUACUCCCUCUGUAAAGAAAUAUAAGAGCGUUUACAUCACCGCUUUAGUGAUCUAGACGCACUUAUAUUUGUUUACAGAGGGAGUAUAUGUGAUAGUGUUACCAGUGCAAGAGAGAGAAAUUGCAAUCUUACGCAGUUUGAAUAUCAUGUUAUCUUACUAUUACAAGUGUGUGUUUAUUAUAAACGACAUGGCAGGCAGCUCAGGUCUGCACCUGUCAUCAUUUUGCCCAUACAUAUACAUACAUACAGCAAGAGAGGCAAAACUUAGCAGAUUGGAAGGCUUGUUGUACAGGGGCGUGAUCACAAACGAAAUAGUAGAGUAGUAUUUCAGGAUGCUGCUAUAUAUUCUGUAGCAAACAAAGUUGUACGCUCCAUACAAAGUGAUGUAAUAAGACUAGACAUAAUUGCCAUAGAAAGGCUAGCAUGUGGGAAUCGCUACAAGAGCUCAUGUUGUCUUGUCAAAUCUCAUACUGGGCACACACACACAAAUUGUUGCACUAGUGAAAACAAGCAGCAUCUAUGGGUACGUAAUUGAUGGCCGGGACACACACGACAUAAGAUAUACCUUAAGGAGCUCCAUGGCGUGGACGCCCAUGGAAGAGGCGGCACACAACAGUCUGCGCCUGAGGACACCAACAUUAUCAAGUUAGUAUGCUUGGUUAGUAUCAUCAACCUGAAGAUAAAUCUGCUGCAGAGUUUUCAGUUUCCUGAAGAAGGAAGGAACUAAAAGUUUCAGAUUUCUGCAGUUUUGUCUGUCUGUGAAGAUAAGUUGCAGCAAGCAAGCAAGCAGGCAAAAUAUGGAGUAUCAAGUUUCCUAGUGCUCCGUCAAAUUGUAAGAUUUGCUAUGCAUGCUCGUGUCAGUAUUUUAUUUUAGUUUUUGAAGGAAUUUGCUCAUGUGAAGAUUUCGGUAUGAGAUACAUGGAGCUUUUUCAGAGUUGUUUUUUUCUUUCUGUAAUACAUGUGAAGACUUGGGUAUGAAAAAUGGAGCUUUUUUCAUAGUGAAAAGUGAUAUUUUUGGUGUCGUUUUGUUGUUGCUCUAAUCGGCAUGUAUCUCAUACUGGAAGACUUUGGUAAUUGAUGGUCGGGACAUGAGAGAGAGCAGACUGAGUUACCUUGACGGUCUCCAUGGCGUCCGCAGCGGCAGCGGGGUCUCGGAACAGCAACAUUACCAAGUUAGUAUCAACCUGAAGAAUAAUCUGCAGAGUUGUCAGUUUUUCUGAAGAAGGAAGUAAAAGUAUGAGAUUUUUUGUAGUUCUGUCUAGCUCCGUCCGAAUACAAGUUGCAGCAGCAAGCAAACACGGAUAGAUGGGCGUUGACAAGCUUACCGUGAUUAUUUUGCAGCCAGUGCCGAACAACGUCGUGCCUCGUUGGUCGAAGGGAGACACACACGAUGAGCCCCUUGUCCUCUGCAUUAACCGGGGAUGAUGCAGUACCGAAUCAAUCAUGCUGCUGCACAAGGACAUGAUAAAUAACAAAUCUUGAGUCAAAUGGAAAAUCUUGAGCUCCAAUCAUAAUGAGAGAAAAGAGGAAAUCAUGUCAAUGAUCCUGAAACAAUAGCAUAAGGCAAAAGAAUAGGAGUAUUUUAGCAUAAGGCAAUGAUCUUGAAAACAGCGGGCAAUCGAGCUGUCUAAGCCCAAACAAUAGCAAAUGUGGAGAACACAUUUGCAACACAGAGACACGCAUUGGUGAUUUCGUGCGGACAUGUCAAGAGCACAACACACACAUGGGGUUGAGAUGAACAUGAGAAGAGAACAUUACUACAGUAGAAAGCAUGAUGAUAUGUGGCAGCCUAUAUGAUUGGAGCUGUAGCAACAAGGGAGCUGAAUUACACGUCCUAACUAAACCCAGGACCAAUGGCUCGGUUAUGAGACAAUUGACAUGCAAGCCUAGCACAUAGGCAAGCAGAUUACUCUGAAUUUCCUCUCCAACACAUGUCUGAAUCUGGCUGUUGCUAUGUGUGGGCGUGUGUUGCGAAACUGAAACUAUGAAUUUCCUCUCGAAUACAAGUCUGAAUCUGGCCUACUAUCAUUCGUGUACCUCACCUCCCCCAAAUCGAUCUCUUAAUUUGUAGUUGCAAAACUGAAAGUUAAGUGUUGGAAUCAAUCGAGCCAAGACAAAACAAGCAUAGAUAGGCUCACUUGUGUGACCAGCAGAAGAAUCAUCGCUACAAGAGCUCAUUGUGUCUUGUUGAAUCUCAUACUCCCUCCGUCCCAAAAUAAGUGGCUCAACUUUGUUCAAACUUUAGUACAAAGUUGAGUCACUUUUUUUGGGACGGAGGGAGUACUACACACGCGCGCACACGCACACGCACGGUUGCACUAGUGAAAAGAGGCAACACCUCCGGGUAAUUGAUGGCCGGGACAUGAGAGAGAGCAGAGUGAGAUACCUGGACGGGCUCCAUGGCGUCCGCAGCGGCAGCGGGGUCGGAACAGCAACAUUGCCAAUUUAGUAUCAACCUGAAGAAUAAUCUGCAGACUUGUUAGUUUUUUCUGAAAAAGGAAGUAAAAGUAUGAGAUUUUUGCAGUUUUGUCUAGCUCCGUCUGAAUACAAGUUGCAGCAGCAAGCAAACACGGAUAGAUGGGCGUUGACAAGCAGAGCAGAGCAUACCUUCCAUGGCGACCUGGGAAGAAGCAGAGCCUCCUUGUAUGCCUGCGCGCUUGAUGCAUCAGGGAGUGCAGCGGAGGACCUCCAUGUCCAUGGAGAAGACCGGAGUUGUUGGUGACCCUUCCAUGGCGUCGUCCUGCUCCUCCUGGUAAUGGUCAUGGAGACGGGGGUGGGUCAGAGAGGGAGAAGAGACCAGACCGGGGAUGGGUUGGGAUGGGAUGGGAUGGGUGAAGAGGAGGGAUUCGUACCCAUGGCUGCGCCUCCUGCCUGCGGAUCCUGAUGGCCGCGGGCUAGGGUCCAUGGCUUGGCUCCUCCGCCGCCGCCGCCUCUCCUGGAUCAUGGAGGAGGAUGGUGCCGUGGAUCUUGGCGCGCAGCUCGAGCCGGGGACAUGCCCACGACCCUAUCCACGGGGAUUGGGAGGGGUUGCGCGCGGUAGCCGUGAAUCUGGCCGGAGAGGAGGAAGGACCGGAGUGAGGGGGUGUCGGCGGUGUGCUGCGUGCCGCCGAAACUCGCCGGAAUCGCGGCGGCGGCGAGGGGAGAGAGAUGGGUGGGGGAUGGGAAUGGGAUUCGCCUCUUUUCAAUAUUAUCUUUCCUUUCCUUUUCUCUUGUCUUCAAAACUUACUUUUGAGCAAGGAGACACAAAUUUUGAGAGACGAGCGCGCGUAAAUGCAGCGGACUCUUAAUUGGUCAAUGGACUUUACCCAUGGAUCGACACUGUCUAUUUAACCAAUCUCGUUCGUCCAUCGACAUCUGACGGCCCGCAGAAUCGAUCGUGGGGAGCUGGCCGGAAGGAAGAAGCACAGAUAUGCUUGGGUUGGAUCUCCAUGGUCUUUGCCCCAUCUCGUCCGCCCGUCCGUCGACAUCGGGUGGCCCGCGGAAUCAAUCGUGAGCAGCUGGCGGGGAUGGAUCGGUGGGAGUCUCCCUCAUUGGUCGGUAGCGAUUACCCACGGAUCGAUCGCCUCUCUGGCCAAUCCCAGCCAUGCGCCACAUCCAAACAUACGUGGGGGUUUCGUUUCGGUUGUUGCUCCAUCAUCGUGAAUGGUCGACCCACUGAUGGAUGCCUGGCGUGGGGCGGUGGCGAUGUGUUCAAUCCAUCGAGAGAUGGUCAUAGCUAGUCGCGGCGACAUGGGUCACAACACGUGUCUCUCGCCUAAGUCUAUGCAUGUAUGGGUCACAGCAUGUGUCUCUGGCCUAAGUAUGUAUGUACAUGUUUUUAUUUAUUUAUUCUCGAUCUGAAAAAAAUAAGAAUGGAUAGAUGUGCUCGCUUCCAUGAAAAAAAAUUGAUGGUGCAGCAAGCAAGCAAGCAAGCAGUCCGCGCGCGUGGGCGAAUUAUUCUACAUGAUAUAACAAAGGGAUCAAGCCAAAGGGAUAAACUGCAAUUAAGCCAAAGGGAUCAAGCAAAUACUUGUAUCACACAGGGAAGGUGGUUGAGUAGUGCUGUCCUGGACCUCAUCCCUUCCCCUCCUCCUCCUCCUCCUCCCUCUCCCAGUCGUACCUCUUCUUUACUUCCUCUACCUGUCACAGUUGCAAGUAAAUUGGAAGGCUCUGUUUUCAUUGCAAAUCACAGUUGCUCUCUACUCCAGUUUCUAGCACUCUUCUUGUAUCGUACUACUUGUCAUAAUGUACUAUAUCAAUAAGAUGCUUCAUUUACAAUGUAUUGUACUGGAGGCUACUCCAUUUAUAAUUUACUAUGCUUCUAAUAAUGUAUAUCAUUACUAGCGUCGAGUAUUGUAUUUACACCAAUGGAAAUAAGAUUACUGCAUUGAUACUUACUGCUUCUUUUUCGCGUAUCUACUGGUUUUUGCUAUGAUGGUAAUUUUAUUUCCAUAGUUACUAAUAAUAAAUAUUUUUUUUUCAUUUCUUAAUAAAUCUAACCAACUCUCAGGUAUAUACGCAUGUCUCAACUACUCCCUCCGUUUCUAAAUAUAAGAUUUUUUAGAGAUUACAAUAAAGAAUACAUAUGGAGCAAAAUGUGUGAAUCUACGCUAUGAAAUACGUCUAUAUACACCCGUACGUAGUCCUUAUUGAAAUCUCUAAAAUGUCUUAUAUUUAGAGACGGAGGGCGUAACAAGACUAUCCUAUGACCGAGUUGACCCCUAGAAACCAGAUUCCCAUUUCAAAAGCCUCCCGUGCAUGAAAAUUUUACCACAAACAUUGAGUCCUAAACUUCUUUUUUGGGUAUAUAUUGUAGAAAGAAUAGAGAGGAAGGUUGACAAAAUGAGGUGGGUUCUAUUGUGGUAUCGCUUGAGCCCCGUGGACGUAUUUAUAGGAGUACAUGAUCAACUUGGAGUAUAAGACAAGUUAGAACAAAUCCUAAUAUAUCCUAUAUUUUCUAAUAAUCACAAUACUCAACAUCCCUCCACAGUCACAAAGGUAGCGACGCAGACGGUGAGACAGGAGAAGAAUCCUAAGGUAAGCCGAUGGACACCAUCCCCCCUCCCUAGUCAUAACGAUCGAUGCAUAGCAGAAGAUGUGGCUGGAGUGAAACCGAUGAGAUUGCUCCAUCAAGUCGUCCCUUUGUGCCGAUGUCAAUCUAACCGAGAGCGUAGGAUGGUGUAUCCAUGUUUGAGGUAGCCAUGCGAGGGAUGACAUGGUCGAUGUCAACUCGGGGUGGUCGAUGUUGAGUUAGUCGCCAUGGCGCCGCAGGCGCAAGGAAGCGCCGUGGUAGUCUUCGGAGCAGUGUUGUCGAGGUAGUGGUGCGCCGGGAAGAAGACGGUGUUGAUGAGUUGUCACGCUAGGUUUGUCAAGGCCAGGGACACGUCAUAGACAAAGGCACGCGUCGGUGUUGCCAGCCUCGGGCAUGCUAGACGGACGAACUCGAUGUUGACGAGGUGCCACACCAAGCUUACCAGGCCCGAGGACACAUCAUGGACGAAGGCACACGUCGGUGUUGCCAGCACUUGGCAUGCCUAGAUGAGGAUCCGCAUGAGUUAUAUGCCAUUGUAACACCCCUAUGUAAGGAGCUAAAGUGAUCAUCAUAAGCUACUUUGAUUAACUAGUCUUGAUCAACGUUGAUUCAUAUCUUAUUUAAAUUCCACUUUAAAUCAAAUUCAAAUUGUAAGAGGAAUUAAGAAUUUCAGAAAUAAGAAAACUAAAAAGUUCACGCAAUGGCAAAUAAUCAUUGAAUAAUUGUCAUGGUGAAACCAAUAUUUUAUAUAAAGUAAUUAAAUACCCUAAAACAAUUAAAACACGGUACAAAACAAUAUUUUAAUUGCUUUUGAAAUUAUAAGAAUUCUAAAGUAAUGUAAAAGCCUCCCAAACUUUUCCUGGCAUUGUCCAAAAUUGCACUUUAAAUAAUGGGCCAAGUUCCUACUUUUACUAAACAUAUUUGCUAUUUAAAAUAAUUAAAAAACAGAAUUAAAUAAAUGAAAACAGAAAAAUAAAAAUAAAAAGAAAUAGUUUAAGAAAAAGAAAAGUGGCACUGUGUCGGCCCAGCCCACCGAUCGUGUUGGCUUCAACAUAGCUACAGUGGCCGACCGAGGGCACGAGCGCCGCUCGUCCCCGUCGGACCACCUCAUCAGCUUCGCCGUGGGAGGAUAAGUCUGCCACCCACACGGCCCCUCGGACUCCUCCCCUCUCACUCACUUACCCCCUAGACUAGAUCCCCCCUCUUCCUUUAGCUCCCUGCGUCGAACUGGAGAAGCGCCCGAUGCGACCGUCGCCGACGCCCCGUCGAUCCCGCGGCCAUCUUCACCCCUGCGCCUCCCCGUCAUGUCAUAGAGUGCCGCUGCAUGCUACCUCGAGCUGGAACUGGGGACCCCUGCAAUGCCGCCCCGACCUCUUCUUCCUCCUUGGGCACCACCGCAGUCGCCAUCGAUUCGGCGCCAUGAGCCUCCCCCGAGCCGACGUUUGCACCUCUACAGGCUCCCUGUGAGUUUCCGCUCGGAUCCCCUUCGUCUCCCCCAUCCUUCCGCGCCAUAGCUCGCCUCGCCGCCAUGGCCGCACCCAAUGUCACGGUAGAGCUCGCUGCCGUGGCCACUGCUCGCGUCCGAGCACCGCAUCGUGCUCAGCUUCUCCCUAGCAACCCAACGCCACCAUCCACUGCCUUUGUCGUGCCCCAUAGCGACGAAGAUCAGCAAACGCCACCACCGCCGCCGAUGAUGUUCCGCUCAACUCCGACCAUCUCAGCCACUCCCACCGACACCAAACAAUGCGACAUCGCUUGCUCUUUUGAACGAGCCAACCAACGGGGCCGGAGACUCCCUGUGCGCAUAUUCCGGCCAACUACGGCACGUCACCACCUUGAAAUCGAGUCGCUGGAACCCCUCUAGCACCGCCAUAGAUAUGGCUGGCUUGGGGCCCACCCAUGUGUCACUGCCAGUGGGCCCCAGGGGCCUAGCUGACCCGUUGACCCCGGUCAACUGUGCUGACUGGGCAGCACAGUCACUGACUGGUGGGCCACCCACCUAAUUAACUAAAAUGUUAAUUAAUUUAAUUGGUUAAAUUUAAUUAGACACUGACAAAAUGGGCCCUAAUAACUAAUUUGCUUAAUUACUUAAAUUGAAACCUAUUAAUUUUUAUUGAGUCACUAACAAUGGGGUUCCACUUGUCAGUUUGACUAGUCAACUGCCAAUGUUGACUACUCACUGGGCUUUGACUUGCCCCACAUGUCAGCCUAUGAAGCACAUCAUAACAUUUAGUAUUUAAUGUAUUUUCGAAUUAACUUAAUUACAAUUUUUUUGGAAAAUCAUUUAAACUCCGAAAAAUCAUAUAAAGUAAUAUAUAACUGAGAUGAAAAUAAGUUAUAUAUGAAAAUUUCUAAGAAAAAUAUAAAAAAUCCAAAAAUGAUAUCCACUCAUCUGUCCGAUAACUGCCAAACGCUGGGAAAACAUUUCUAGAUGUUUUCCCGCUUCGUCUGUAACGUGUAGCACUAUGUUAGAUCACCGCUAGGUCAGCAUAUUUCCAUGUCAUGCAUCAUGAUGCAUUUAUUUGCUUUAUAUUUGUUGUUUCUCCCCCUCUCCUCUCCGGUAGACCCCGAGACUGACGAUGGUCCUAGGUAUGACUACACACCUGACGAUCAGCCCUUUUUCAUAGAGCUUCCAGGCAAGAAAAAGCCCCUUGAUCAUUCCUAUAUCGCCCAUACUUUCUCUCUCAUGCUUGCAUUCGAUUUUGCUAAUGUUGUUGAUAACUCCUAUUGUGAUGCAUAGCCUGCUUUUGUAACCUGCUGUUGUUACUUUACCUGAUAUCCUAUAUGCUUAGUAUAGGUUAGUUAGUGAUCCAUCAGUGACCCUUCGCCUUGUCCCUGUUGCCCCCGCUUUAUUACCGAAUGAAUCGAUCAAUGUGAUCGACGUACUGAGACCAACACAUCACCGCACCCCCCCCUUAGUUGUACAACUCUGUAGAGAUACUACCGAGUGCCGAGGGUGAUACCUCGAAAUGCACUCCUGAUAAUAUCUCUGUAGUGUAGCUAAUCGGUUGUGGAUUAUGGAGGGUGAUUCCUCCUUCACCACUCCCAAUAUUGACUCUGUCGUGCAGUUCUUCAAGUGUGAACCUACCGUGGGUGAUUCCUCCAAGUUCACCUUGAUGGUUACAUCGAGUGGGAAUCGAUCAAGGGUGAUUCCUACAAUUCCUCCUUGGUGUUAUCGACACACACUUACCUUUACCUGUUCCCGUCAACUGUUUCUGUGGGACUGAAGGGACAGAUGGUACCACCCCAGUAGAGGUGGACCUGAGUUCCUGAUAGUCUCUUGUGACUGAGGAUGACCUGGAGGGUACCUGUGAGAUAAUUACGAGGCACGGCCGGGCAUUCUUGGCCCUUGCCGUAAGUUCGAGAGACAGAGCAAUAGGACCACGGAUCAUGGAUCAUUGAUCCUCUCCACGCUCUCCCAAGACACUAAUUGAUUUGGAUAUGUGCACUGUUCUAUAAUUCAUCCGAUUAAUCAGUAAAUUGGCUAGUUAAUCGCUACUCAUCAGGUGGCCGAAUCGAAUAACACCUAUUCAUCAUGUUAACUUGCCAGUCCGAUUAAAUGGUCUAUUAGACCGGUUAAAUGGUCUGUUAGACCGAUUAGUCGGUUGUUAGGCCGAUUAAUCGAUGUCGGCCCGCUAACUCAUGGGCAUACAAAGCCCAAUUAUUUGGCCCGUAACCCCUCUCAGCCCAUACAAAGCCCGAUUAUUUUAUUAAAGUCAAUUGUGCUAAUAAUAUGCAAAGCCCCAAGCUUGGGGAUGCUAAUUUUUAUACGUCCACUACUUAUUGCAAUUAUCAUGAUUCGGGUGAUUAUUCUUAUGAUAUUGAAAGUUUAUUUAAGCCUCAUGAUGAAUAUCGUUGUGAUAAUAUUGAAAAUGGGUUUGGAAGAUUGUCAACUCUAGGUAAUAAUGAUCCCACUAAUUUGUAGAAUGAUCCCAAGCUUGGAGACGCGACAAUAGUAGUGUAUCGUGAUGCAGAAGGAAACUACCUCAGCAGCUCUUCCCUGGCGUAACCAAUGUAGCAUUUUAGGAUUAUUUGUUUUCAUAAGAGCAAGUACAAUAGCAGGCUUAUAGCCUGCUUACAUGGCAAUUUUGUCGACAUGGAGGAGAGAGACAUGAAAAAGUAAGCGGAGUGAGCUCUCAUGCAAGAGCCUAACUAUAUGCGUGCUUCAAGGCAGAUGCAAUAAAUACGAAGAAAGAGAUAGAGAGAUGAGGAAAAAUAGUAAUCUUAUAGCCAACCUUAUAGCUAACCUUAUUGUAUGAGUGACUAUAUGAAUUGGCUAUAAAUGAUAUGACAACAUCUUAUAGCUAGCAAUUUGUUGUAUUAUUAAUCAUGCUCUAAUGUUCCUAAUGCAUCAAUACGAAGAGAGUACUAGUAAAGCAGUGACAAGUAAUGUGGAUAGAAGAGAGUAACGCAAUUUCACAAAUAUGACAACAAUCUCAUUAAUGAUAGCAUGUGGCUAUCUAGCCAGGGCCGAGUAAUAAAUGAGGGCCAUCAGGAAGUUCGCUGGCACGUUACGAGCUCAGAUUUAUUUGUUGAGCACCUUGCGAACGAUCAAUCACCAUACUCCCUUUAAAUUGUCAGUUUACAUAUCAAUUUUCAUGCAUUUUCACCACCAAAGGGAUUUUAGACACGUUUGGUUUAAUGCCCAAUUAAUUAGGGCGUGACAACCGCAAUCAAUCCCACAAAUUUCUCUCCAUGCAGGUGUGUAUGCGAGGUAGAAUAAAUGCAUGCAUGUGUGUACGUGUUAAUUUCCCAAAUUGUUAGGCGCCGUGGUAUAACCAUAGAUGAUAUUUUUCAGUUUAAUCGCUAAUCAUUUGGUUUCAGAGAUUGUUGAAGCGCGCCGGACUGUGACAAGAGAGUAUUUCACGCCUGUCCAUGCACAGGAUUUUUUAUACUAUCUAUGUCUUGGUUACAGGUCACCGUAUUUUGGAUCAUUUCUUAAUCAUGAUUUGAACUAAUAAAAUCUAAGCUAUACAUUAAAAAAUAAUAUCAUUGGAAACUACAUUCAAAUAUGAAUCCAACAAUAUUAUUUGAUUUGUUGUGACAUGCAUUGACAAUUUGCUAGUCAAAUAUGUGAUUAAAUUUUGACUUAAAAUAUGGGAGGGACUAAUAAACCCUACUCCAAAGUCGAAAGUAUUUUUUUGCGCCUACUCAAAAGUUGGCGAUACUUAUUUUCACAACCGUCUAUAGGUGAGCAAUAAAGGUGCAAUAAAGACCGUCCCAUCCCCUGUAUCAGCCAAAGAUUGAAUUAUAUUAUAAUGGCAUCUAUGCAGCUCAACUACCGCGUGCCAAGCCCAUGCGUGAGUAAAUACGGCAGGCGCAGCUCAAUCCAUCAAGCCAUGGCAGACUUGCUCCUCCUAACCCUGCUUCCCUUGGCUCUCCUCUUCCUCCUCCUCCACCAUGCAUCGCCAAUCAAAGCCCUUCUCACGAGGGCCAAGUCGGUUCUGGCACCGGAGCUCUCCACGGUGUGGAAGCCACAGCCAGCUAGCAUCUUCGUCACGGACCCCGAGACGGCGCACAGCCUUCUCGUGCGUGGCAGCGCCGCUGGCUCCUUCUCCAACCGCCCACCGUCCAUUUCUCCCAGCGCCAUCCUCUCGCGCCGUCAAUACCAGAACAUCACCUCCGCUCCCUACGGUGAGCACUGGCGCGCCAUUCGUCACAACCUCACAUCGGAGGUCCUCCACCCAACGCAGCUCCACCGGCACGCGUCAGCGCGCCGCCGUGCACUACAUGGACUCGUCGUGGACCUCGCCGAGCAGAGGAAAGACGGCGUGGUUCACGCGGCGGAGAGCAUCCGCUACGCUAUGUUUGUCCUGGUGGCCAACAUGUGUUUCGGCGACGACAUCGACAAUAACCGCGUCCGUGCCAUGGCCGACGCUCAGAGUGACCUCGUCAAGUCCCUAUCUACGGCGCGCGUGUUCGCGCACGCCAUGCUCCCCGCACUGACCAGGCUCAUUUAUCGUAAUCGGUGGAAGAAGCUAGCCGCCCUGCGACAGCAGCAGGAGCAGACGUACCUACCACUCAUCGACUCCCGUCGCGGCCGGCACCGGCGACCCAGCGAGACGCCGGUGUAUGUGGACACGCUCAUCGAUCUCAAGGUGCCGGACGACCACAGUCAGGACCCAAGGCGGCAUCGAAGAAGGCUGUCCGAUGGUGAACUCGUCGGCAUGUGCUCCUAGUUCCUUGGUGCUGGAACUGAAACGACAGCAUCAGCGCUGCAGUGGAUCAUGGCCAACUUGGUGAAGCGUCCCGACAUACAGGAGGCCGUCCGGAAGGAGAUCAAUGCCGUCGUGGGUGCGGACGCCGAUGAAGUCAGCGAGGUUGUUCUUGGGAAGCUGGAGUACCUGCACGCUGUCAUCAUGGAGGCACUCCGGCUGCAUCCGCCGACGUCUUUUGCGUUCAGGCAGGUGAUGGAAGAGGAUCAUGUGGUUCACAAUGGCCAGCGUAUUCCAGUGGGCACAAAAGUGUACUUCCCACUGGCUGCUAUAGCACGAGACAGGAUAGCGUGGGAUAACCCUGACGAGUUCAAGCCACAACGGUUCCUGUCCUGCAAGGAUGCAUCCCAAGGAACCGACGGCACGAUCAAAAUGAUGCCUUUCGGCGGUGGUCGGAGGAUGUGCCCUGGUAGGGGUGUCGCAAUGCUGCACUUAAGCUACUUCACCGCCAACCUUGUGAGGGACUUCCGGUGGAGGGAGGGAGAAGGUGAGCUUGCUGUCGAUCUCCAGCCGCAUGUUGAGAUCUUCACUGUCAUGAAGCGGCCAUUGCGUGCUCACCUAGAGCUUGAAAGGACAGAGAUCAAAACUAGUUAAUUAGCUGGGCUGAUCAAGGUUUCUUGGUUGUACUGUGUUUGCUAAAUGCUAAUAACGAACCAUAUGAAUGUUUUUUGAGCGUCAGUUGAUUCCUCCCCCGUACGCACGCUAAGUGUCGAGCGAAGACGAAGCGUGGCCUGCGAGGACUUGCCAAGAAUGAAUCGGAGCAGGCAACAAAGCCGCUACAUCAUAGGCGGAGGUGAGAUAGAGGCUUUACUAGUUUGGGUGAUGGGCGGUUCCCGGCAUAAAGAACAAAUGGAAUACAUGAUUAUGUUAUCGGUUAAUGCCGUAAUAGUUGUGGUUAAGUCAGCAAUUCCUCAACCCAUGCACUUGAGCAGGCUAGGUAUUUCUUUUAUGAACAUUAUUAUGAAGAUCAUUAAAAUUGUUAACCAUUAAAAACACUUUGUCAAUAGGGAAAAAUAAUAUAUGCAUGAUGAAUGUUAUGCAUAUUUAUAAUUCCGUUUAACAUUUGUAAAUCCACCAAUUAAAUCAUGCUCCUACCUUUAAAAAUAAUCCAGGACCUAUAAUGUACAUGUUAUUUACAUAAAUAGUAAGAUAUUUUAAAUUAAUCAAUCUGGAUACAAAAGCAUAUAUUAAUGUUUGUAGCUUAGCUACCCCAUAGUGUGCGAUGCUCCCUAUUUAUAUCCAUGCAAAACCUUAUACAGUAGGAUACAUGAUCUGUGGCAGAUGAAACUAGCUCCAAUACACUUGUUCAAGUUUUGUUGUGUACAACACCCAUGGCAGAUGAAACUUGUCAAUCUCUACUUGUCGAGUUGACAGUCAUGUCAAUGCGAAAGAAGGCAUAGCUGUCAGCUUGUCACCCUAAAAUCUGAGCAUGUUGACAAUGGAGGUAGGUGAAUUCGUGAUAGAAGAGGAAGAAGAAAAUAAUAAUUGUGUUAUAUCAAAGUAUACAAAUGAGCUUUGUUUCUCAAAAUAAACAUCCUGAAUUCUACAAGGAUAAAAAUAGCAACAAAUAAACCAAAGUCAUCGUCUUAGUAAAUUCUAUUUUCUUUACUAGGUUAAUGUCACGCUUGUGGCAGGGAAGGGAUAGGACACAUCACAUGCAUAUCCAUUAUCCAUGAUGCAAGUGUAUGAACAUGCGUGAAGGAUGUGGGACACCGAAGAAUUAAGUAAGGCUCUAAAGUGUGGGCUAUAAAUUGGCCUAUACAUCAUUCUCAACAUGGUGCAGAAUGGCCAGACUGUCUUAGCUAUACCUUUGCUGGUUUGUCAGGUCAUUAUAACGGGUAGAUGCAGGUUAGUUAAUACAGAUGGAUGCAACGCUACUCCUAUAGAUAUUAUUAUAUGUGAGAUCGAUCGGAUGUGUACUUGUUUGAAUGGUUAUUCUUGCUUGUCAAGCCACUCUUUAUUUGUCUUUUCACAUUCAUAAUAGCUAAACAUCAGUCGCCUGAAAAUCCAAUUUGGUUUGUUCGAUUUUCGCUAGAAGGAAGCAGGUGCCAGAGGGAAGGAAGAAGCAGCUGCUGACUCGCCGGAGUGAAGGAAGGAGCUCCCUAGGAGGCUACCCCAUCAUCUAUCGUUGAUGAAGGGGGGAGGUAGGGGUGGCAGCACGGCGGUGGUGCAAGUUCGCCGGAGAAAAAACUGGUCAUUGCCGGGGCUGGAGGGAUGGCCAGGGGCAGCAGCAUGUCGGUGGGAGGAGGAUGAGGGGUGGGCGGGGCGGUGAGGCUGAGCAGGAGCGCCGCUGGCCGCGGGUGGUGGUGGUCGACGGUUCGGCCGGUGGUCCAUCUGGCGGUUGGAUGGAGAAGAAGAAAGUUGUCUGGAGGAUAAAGAAGUAAUCUGCACCGCCUGUUUUCCAUCCCAUGGCUGAAACGAAAUCAAAAGAACAUAACUGAAAAUUUAGUCGACUUACCACUAGCCAUUCCCUUCUACAUUCUAUGCAGGGCCGGCCCUGAGGGGGGGCAGAGGGGGCGGCCGCCCCGGGCCCCCAGGAUGCAGGGGCCCCCACCCAGGGUACGUAUACAUUAGCCAGCUAGGCUAAGCCCACUACGCACUAGGACAUGGGCUGAACAUGGAGACGCAGGCUGUGUCUAGCCUAAGGCACACAGCGGCUCGUUCCUCGACUCCUCAUCCGAUGUGUAGCUCGUAGCUGUAGCUUUGUCCGCAUGCCUGUUUGGAUGCCUAAUUAUUCCCUUCCGAGUUGGUCAGAUCUAAUUGCGAGUUCGCUUCUUCAAGAGGAUCGCGAUCCUAAUCGCGAGUCGCCGUUUUAUCGGCGACCUUCGCUCCCCAAUCUCCACUGGAGAUGUCAUCCGUCGUCGCCAAGCGUAGACGUACAUCCAAUCCAGACCGCAUCCUCCAACAGAUCCCAGGUUUUAAUUACUAGUAUUCCCUAUCAGCUAAUUAAGUAAUUUAUCUUUGCAUACAUGAUGCCUAUAUUGCGCACAGCAAAGUGUCCUGUGUAUUGCUAUGGAUCCAAACUUGACUGAUACUUGUUCAAAAACUUUUUAAAAAACCUGGUUUUGUUAGAUAUAUUAGUAAAAAUAUGUUAGGUUUCACCCAGUGUAUAUAUCAUUUCUGUUACCAUAAAAAAAUGUUGUGCUAAUCGCUAAGCUAAUGAACUGCUGCAAUGCAGGGAGAUGAUUUUGAAAGCGAGCUUGGUUCAGGGUCUUCCAUUCAUGUUCUAUCAGGGCAACAGUUUUGGUAAUGGCCACUUCACUUGUCACGUUGUACUCAUUGAUGUAACACUCUACAGUGCUUGCCAUAUCCCCCUUGCAUUUUCGACGCUGUAUGAUGACAUCAAUAAUCAUCUUUAUGUAAGUAUGUAUCAAUUUAAUAAUCUUGCAUGCACUCACAAUGAUAGUACAAACUUGGUAACUGAGCCCUGCCCCCUUUUCCAUAGGUGCCAACACAUUUCGAUGUGUACAAAUUUAUAAAAAAAAUAGACCAAUGAAGUUAAGGUAGCAUCAUAAAAAUGACAUUGCUAAAAAAUAAUUCUAAGUAUAAUCCAUACUAUGAUAUUUUUUGUCACUAAAUCACAUUUUAGCACUCAAAUUGUUGGUCAAAAUUAUAUCUCAGUAUGCUUGAAAUUGAACUUCUUACAUGUGUGAAAGGAGCAAGUAACAUGCAUGCAAAAAAAUAAUUUUGAAAUAUUAUAUAUAUAUACCUCAAAUGCACCGAUAUCAUUCAUGAAACGGGAAAUCUUCCCAACUGAUAUGACGACAUCCGGGACACUAGCAGCCCAUUUGAGCGCUGUCUUCAUCAUUGCAUCACUCAUUCCAGCCAUCAUACUCACACAUAUCGUUGGCACACCAAUGUUUAGACUAGUCAACUUGACCUGAUCUACAAAGCUUGGCUUGUGGUUCCUGUGUGACCAUUUCGCUUCUUGUAGGUAACCAGUCACGUUAUUUUGGACCUGCACACAAACAAAGAGAUGUAAUCCCAAAAUUAACGAGAAGAGAGAGAGAGAGAGAGAGAGAGAGAGAGAGAGAGAGAGAGAGAGAUGUUGUGACAGAAAAGGGUACAUGAACUUACCGCUUUUUUCAGGUGUGCUAUAUCGUAGUUCGUAUUGGCUAGCAUUUCAGCCUCAAUAUUCUCAAAUGUCCUCAGCAUCUCCAUAUAGAACUUCUUCAAGUACUCCGGCAGGAGAAAAAUGGCGCUCUUAUCCCAUCUUGAAGGCCAAUUCACAAAAGCAAUCUUAAUACAAGUUAUCGUAGUUUGAAAAUUCUUUGUUUGCAUGUUAACCUAACCUUUUAUUUUUCUAUACUCUUUAUCUUUCUUCAACACAGUAAGAACCACUAGUUUCACUUUGCUCCAUGAGGCAAAUAGUGUAACAUGACAUCAAAAUUUCAUUAUAGGCAAUAUAUCUCAUUUGUUACUGCAUUUAGAUUUUCUUUCAUCCAUAUCUUAUUAUGGCAACUUAUAUGUUUGUGUUAAUAAAAUAAUAAUCUAAUCAUGCAUCACAUUUUCAUUUGAAAUUGCAAUUGUUACCAGAUAGUAGUGAGCAUUAGCUCAUUACUUGUAUGUACCAAUGAGUGCUAUUGUGUUAGGACUUAUGAAAAUUUCAUGUCAACAUGGAAUUUUAGCUGUGGAUCUGCCCGCGCGCGUGGAUGGGGUGGGGGGCACCGGGCAAAUUGAUAAUUCACCAUCGGAUUCAGCUCGUCCACCUCUGGAUGCCGUGAUUAUCCAAAGAAUAGUAAUAUGCUCCUGGUUUGAAGCAUUAUUUGUAUACCAUUUUUUUCUUGAUAGAAUUGCACUCUUAUGGUCACGGCAAUGCAGGGUGUUCAUUUACUUCUUCUUAAAUACUAAAAUAGUUAUUAUCCAGUACAUACAUGUUCGUAAUUACUUUAUUACUUCGAACAUCAUGGAAAAAUCACGUUGCGCACAUAUUUAUGACUGUGAUUGCGAUUGAUUCUAAGGACGUAUUGAUAUGAUAUGGAAUCGCUAUCUUAGUGGAAUAUACAUUAGAUGCAUUGACAAUUUGAGAGAUAAAAUGUAGAGCUAAAUCAAUCCCACCUUUGUAUUGCUUCAUGUAGCUUCCAACUGUCCUCUAGGGUGGCAUGGUUAUCAUAUAUGUCAUCUAAUGUGGUAAUUAGUACAAUCAUCUUUGUGAUCAUACUUCGAGUGAGCUCAAAUUUUGUGUCAUAGUACAACACAGAGGCCCAUGUAUAACCCUCCACCACACGAUCGCGGAUAAAGCUUAGCUCGAUAUAUCCGAAAAAAUGCUUCCACCACCUGUGAAUUAAUUAAGCAAUGUUAUAUGAACUAGUACAUAUAUAGUCCACAUAGAAUAUAACAUCGCUAGCCCCAUUAAGAGAUAAAAGAACAUUGGUCAAUUAUUACUAAAAGCAUGUGCAUUACUCUAUCACUACACCAUUUAUGUAAUUAUCCUACAAUGCACAGAAAACAACGAAACACUAAAGCAUCAUGAACCAUUAAUGAAUAUGCAUUCUCAUAUUGAUGAAAAAAGGCAACCACGUAAGCUCUUAAUUUAGAUGACGUUAAGCACUAGAAAUGUAGUGGUAACUAGACUUUUGGUUUUUUGUUUGUUUGAAGAUGUAGUAUGCGAGGGCAACCACCCGUGAAUCAUUAUUGGGUUAUAUAUUCUGUUUAUAUAAGAAAGAUAAAUAACAUACCUGGUAAUAGCUUUGAGCUCCUUCAAGUGGACAUUUUGCUGAAGGUUGAAAUCCAAUUUGGCAAGCUCCAGUAGGAUUGGGUUAUGCUCCUCUUGUUCGUACUCUAGGAUAUAAUGUAGCAUUUCCACCCUCUUAUUUGUCCUUGGCAUUGGUAUCUGAAGGGCAUGUUGGACUUGUUGAGCAAGUGGGGUCUUUAAACUACCACUACAUGACUCAAGAUGAUGCCUUGCAAAAGCUAUGGCUUCUUCAAGUGCUGGCUCACCAUGAAUUAGAAGAUGAGAUGCAUUGUAUAGACAUAAUAGUGUCCUGGGUUCAUUUGUUAUAUCAUUAAUGAAGCUUCCAUCUUCACUUUUGAAUCGAUUGAAAACAUCUGUAAUCAAUAAAUAAAUGUUGGUGUUCUCGUGACCACAUUGUCAAUGGAGCUUCUAUUGUUGUAGACAUGUCGUCCACAUUAUGAAAUAUUUUGCAAAUAAGGUCACCAAUCUAAUCUUGAUAACUCAAUUUCUUAGCCAGUUAAAAAUUUGCAUAUCAUGAUUUUUCUUCCAUAAUUUUUCGUAACCAACUAUGCAUAACAAGAAAAAAUUGUUAGGAUUAUAUAUACCUGGAGAUACACAGUAUCCAUGUUCCCUCAGCAAGCGAAACCGAAGGGCAACUUCAUAGAGGUUGUAGUUACUAAAUUCACUCUUCAGGAUUUGCCACAUAGCGGUGUCAAUCUGGUCUUCAAAGAGGUGAUCGAUUCCGAGAUGUUGUAGUUUAUCCACUAAGGACAUUUUUACCACUGUGUCAUUGCUGGAUUUAAACAACAUACAUAUGUCUUCCUUCAGUUUUUUUGCCCUAAGCGUCAUCCACUGCUUGGAUUUCUGCAAUGCAAGCAUUGAACAUUUUUAAUUAACCAAAAGGGACAAGGGUUAGCUAGGUAAAAAAAUGUCGCCAAAACCAAAAAUAGUUGAAAAAAUCUAACAACUCGUAUCUCCAGUGAAAGAAAAUGGACCAAAAGUACAUGACUGUAUAGAAUAACCAUAUAUCCUUUCACUGAGUCCAACUUUCCAACAUAUGCCAACCAAAGGCUACCCACAUGUAUCUUCCAAGGGUGUCGGUCGUGGCCAGCAUAUUUAAUUUCAAAAGCAUGCAUGUGGUUUCAAGUUGUUUCCACUCAAGCAUGGAGUUACACUAGACGAUUUACUUAUGACUAUGAGUGGUGUUGAUGAUAUACAAAAUAGACAUCCAAAAUAUGACAAAUUUCUACCGCCGGAUAUGUGAAAUAUAAAGUCUGUACACAUAUUCAGAUACUAUAAGAAGUGUCGACUAGUGAAGUACACGCAAUAAGCAACCGGUUGCCAUGGAUCUCUAGAGGAGCACGGAUGGUAAUUAGAAAUGUGUUCCUACUUGGGCCCGCAAGUGGUGGGUGCAUGGUGUACAUUUUGGCACCUCUUGGGCUGGCCCAGCGUAGGCCGGAGUAGUAGAUACUAGUACAAAAACGCAUACAAUAGUUACAAAUAAAUACCUCUGUGCAUGGUGACAUUUUGUGCCAUAAAUAGUUAGCUUUUAUUAUAUACCUGUAACGGCGGUGGCUCAUAUCCAGCAAAGAAGUCAAUCCAUGGUGAGGGCUCGUAGCUGAACGCAGGAGUAGCAGCAUUGUCGGACGCCAUAGAAAUUAACAGUUGCUUCUUUGUUUCAUAGGUUUAGUAGCUUGGGAUAUAGAUAGCUUUGUUUGGGGAGGAAGGAGAAUGUGUGCGUGAGGCCUUUAAAUAAUGUCCACGCAAUGGCAGGUCCAUGCAUAUUUCUCAUCGUUAGCAGCCGGCCGGCCGAACUAUAAAGGCGACUGCAUGCACUACUAAUCUACCUACCUUCCGGUUGAUUAUCCGGUAGUGCCUUUAGACCCACCCGAUUGAUGGACAUAAAAUCAUCUAUUUCCAACGUGAAGAAAUCUAUUUUAGCUUGCUAUAUUUGUGGCUUGCACUGUUCCUUAGUCAUUUUCUCUGUUUUUUACAUGUCACAUAGUAUUGUCAUGUUUAUGUUCAGAAUUUACAUCCACAUACUUGUAACCAUCCUCUAUAUACAUGAAUAUUUUGUAUUCAUUUAUUUUGAAAAUUGAAUAUUUAUCUUAUUUUUUGGCAGUUUGGAUAUACCUCAGAUCAGAAUAUUCUAGCCCUUUCUGGGUGCGGUUGUUUGUUGUACAUAUACUUAAUAGAAAAAAACUGGUUGCCAAAUUUACAUUCAACUUGUGUUGUAAUCCAAAAUAUCACACUAAUUUAAACUUGAUAGAGCAUGUAAAAAUAACAAUUCAAAACUAUGUUAAUUUGUGUAGAAUGUACAAAGAAAAAUAAUGGACCUGCCAAAGUUAAAUCAAAGUUUACUUUCAGGAAUGUAUUUCUUGUCGCAUGUAUUAUAUUUAUCUUCAUAGGAUGGAUCGUUGGUCAAAGACCAUGGCAGCCCCUAGAUUGCAUCUCAUAGCAGACGCACCAGGAGCAUUACAGAGUUAGCUCAAUGCAUGCAAUUGGCGUGACAAUGUAUAGUCAGCAAAACACUGAUGCCAAUUGUUGUGAUCACUCAUCAUGCAUGCAGGUCUCUUAUGCAUAGAGCCAAUAAUCCAUUGUACAUCAUUUUUCGAUUAUACUACAUCAAGUUUAAGAUGAAUGCAUGAUGCGUAUUAGCAGUCGGGCGAAUUAUACUAGAUAGUCCCUCUUCUGAUUUAUAAGGCCCAAGUGUAUCCCUAAAUUAAUCAUUUAAUCAAAGUAACACCAAAUGUAUAUCACAAAUGGUAUAUCUUUAGAAGUUUUCUAUGGAAUAUUUUUAUUGUGAUAUGUAGUCACAUGUGCCUGCUCCACCAUCAGAGACCCAGCGAGUACAAAAAAACUCUAGAUAGCUAACACUAAUAAUUUAGGGCAUGCAUUCAUUACCAUCGUUAUGCCAUGUUAUUAAAGUAUCAUAGCUUGACGGCAACUCCCCCUACCUAACCAUAGCUGCCCGGUCCAAGAUCUUAACUAUUUUUACCUGUGAUCCAUCGCCUCUACUAAGUCGUGAGGUUGGGAGAUGCAAAUAUUAUAGCUUUUAUUUGAGGUCUUUUUUUUCUUGACUAUGUCAACAACACCAGCGCCUUGCGAAAUACUAGUUCUCCUUCUCCUUAAGUUAUCCUUCUAUGUUGAUCUAGUUUUCAGGAUCAUGUGGUCUAGUAAACAAUGCUAGGGAUUUUCGUUCAUGGUGUGUUGAAUAAACUUUGUGCCCUAUUCCAGAUGGGGAGGGAAUUCAAGAGUUUUUAUUUGCUGAAGAUAAAGAUAAAACAUUUUUUGCUAAAUAAAAAGACAAGCCCACACAUGAGAUACCUUCGGGAACAUUUAUCCUUGGUCAAAUACAACGGCCCGCAAAUUGCAGCGAUGUUUCGUAUAAUUGAAGUUUCAUGGAUCUUAUAGCAGUCUCUCAUGGAUCUUAUAGCAUCGUUGGCUCGGCAGCGGUGGCGGCCGAUUCCCUCGAGACUAAGGCAUAGUUGAGGAUUUACCGCCUGGGCCGGUUGAUCCGGCAGCCAUGAGGUGAGGCGGUAGGACCAGUGAUAUGUAUUUGUCAGUGUGACGGCUCUCGUUGCCAUUCAGUAGUUGCGGUGGUGCGGCAGUGCGAGCGACGGAGGGCGCGGUGGAUCUGACUUUUCAGCGGUACAGUGGUGGUGUCUUUGGCCGGAAGCGGCCGGAUUCGAACGGAUUUGGUAGCAGCAGCUGAGUGGGAGGGGAGGCUUUUCUGCAUGUUCACCUAAGGGAAUGUUCCGGAUGGUGGUUUGACUGCACGCGGCUGCGUUUUUGUUUCGCGGCUGCGCAUGGUGUUGUAUAGUUGCAACACAAGAGGGUGUAUUUUAGGGCUGCCUCUAGUUAGGACCACAAAAAUAUAGAGAUUGGGAAGCUGUUGGAGUACCGUUUUUAUGUCAAAAUGUCGUAAAGAGCAUUUUCUUUGCGCCUCUACUAUAUUUUAAAUCACGUAUUGGAGAUGCUUUAUGUGUGUUCAUUUUCUCCAUAGGUGUCGCCGCCUCCUUCAAAUACUUGGCCCUAAGUGUAUGCAUAUGAGGGCAAAUAUUGGUGGUGCACGAGUCAGGUGAAGGUGCGACCUGGUGCAGCUUAAGCCAUUUGCGAGCGGGUGCAUGGGACGGGUCCUUGACACUUAGGCUGGUCUGGCUCAGCCAUUCGACCGGUUUGGGUGCAGAGAAAAGGAUGGAAAGAGGGAAACUUUGACAUGGCGUAACCAUGACGGGGCUUUUCUUCACCCUCGAUUUAGCAGAUUUUGUCUCCUACAAAACUAUUGGUGCAGGAAUUCAAAAGUUUUAGUUUUCUCUAAGAUGAAGCCGUUGUGUAGGUAAUAUGGUACUGGUUCCUAUUUUGCAUGUCUGCCGUGGUUGUGGUUGUGGAAAUUACUUCAUCUAUCGUUUAGUAGAGAAUUUUCUGGGUCUUGUAAUUCGUUUGGUAACCGUUCUUUUGUCUGGUUUAUCAGCCUAAUGCAAUGUGCCAGUUUCUCAGCAUAGGCCGAGUAGGUGGGUUUCUUUUCGUUUGGACGUGUGGUGCUUAUGAGAUCGCAAACUGACUACAAAGAAAAGGACAUGUACGCGGUGUAAUUUGUGCACUGCUUCUCUUGCCACAUGUUUUAUUGUUAUCUUUAUAUAUAUGAUUGAUACUUUGUCAAAGAUAACAUCGUCUAGAUUGCAUCCACUUUUCAUAGCAGCCGCACCAGCUGGAACAGUAUAAGGCACAUACCAUCGUGAGUGUGACAAUCAGGCCUAUCUUUAUGUAGCUGUGACCACUCAACGCAUGCAUGCGUCGACGUUUCUCACCGUCAAGUAGCAGCCGGAGGAAUCCGGUAUAUGAUCUUGUGCGUACUGGGAAUUCGGUGCGACGUCCACUAGAUCGACUUUAAGAUCUGCUCUUCACUGGGAAUGUUAGCAGCCGGUUGAAUCAUUUUUAGUAUACAUGCCAUGACGUCUUUAUGUUCUGCCCCACUAGUUCAAGAUCCAUGCAUGCAUUCAUACUCUAUUUUUAGCAGCCGAUAGGUGUCACCUUCAACUACAAUGUAUUAUUAGAGGGUAAUAUAUAUGGACGAAAACGUCACAGGACAGUCGGACAUCAACAAAUUACCAUUAGAUUAGAUAGACACGUCUCACCUCCCUGCGUGCCCGCACACUUUGUACCAUGCUAAUUAAUUGUAUGUGAGUAAUUUAAUGUGUUGCUACCUUGGAAAUGUAGUUGCAUUCAGACACAAGAGGAACAUAAAGUAUUUGUAAGGGCCUCCUUUAAGUUGAAAGGAUAAUCCUCCAUCUGCGCCAAACGAAGCUAGCAAUCACAUUGCGCCAUGAAUCUAAAUUUGGCCUCGCGAGGGUGAGCUAACUCCUAUUCAGAUGGCCACGGGUCUAAGCGGGGAAAAAGAAGAGAAAUAAAGGACAACUACCAUGCAGCCUACACUCGAACCCAUGGUGAGGAUGUGAGGCAAAAGAAUAGGAAAAGACUCUGUGUUGUGGCCCUAGAAAGCUCUAAGGAUCAGUUUUGUUUGCAUCCUCGUUGUUUCAAGACUGGCCUGGAGCACGCAUGUGAUCUUCCUGGGCGGUGUUUGUUUAGUUCCUGGAAAAGAUCGUAGUGGCCGGGCCUGGAUAACCAAACAUGACCAGCUAUUAGUCUACCAGGCUUCUGAAUUCCUGGUCCUGCGCACCGGCUAAUAGCUGCCUGGCCUCUAAUACUAGUAUAGGGACUUGUGCCAACCAGUAGGACUCUCUUUAGUUUUUGUGUGGACAUUUAUUCCUUAGUACGAGUACAUCAGUCCAGGUAGGAACCAAACACAUCUCUGCCUAGCUUGCCUGACCAGGCACGAAAGAGCAAAUUCCCAGGUAGAGUACAGGCAGCAAUAUUCUUCAGGCAUGGUGUCCAGGGUAGUAACCAAACUAGCCCUAAAUAAAAAUAUCUAUGACCAAACAUUAUGCAUGUACGUAGGAGGCAAAACUAGGCGUCAAACUGACUUCUAACGUCGGCUCAAUAUCAAAAACAUCAUAUAUAUUCUUGUAAACCUGGUAGAGUAUGUGACAAAAUUAAAAAUCAAUUAAAACAACAAAUUCCUGGUAGCUAGCAUUCAUAACUAAAAGGUACCUUUCUUUUGCUAUUUUCAGGUCUUGUAGUUCAGUUAGUAAUCGAUGUUUUGCCUGAUUUAUUAGUUUAAUGGAAUAUGUAGGUUUUACGUCAUAGUUCGAGUACGACAGUGCUUUCUUGUAACAAGUUUUAGUGUUAUCUUCGUAUGAUUGAUACUAGGCCAAAGACAAUGCUGCCUAGAUUGCAUAGAUGUUUCACAGCAGCCGCUCCAACCAAAACAUUGCAUGGCUAGAUUACAGAAAGGCACAGACCAAUCAUGGGCGUGACAAUGCAUAUAGUAAUCAGGUAUAUCUUGCACGUACUUCGUGGGUGUGACACACAUUAGAUGCAUGCAUGGCGCAUGUUAGCAGCCGGACGAAUGCUGGUGGGAUGCAUGCGAGUUCAAGACAAUCUGCUCAAUAAUUGCGCUAAUGCAUUCAUGUUUGUUGCUUUGUUAGCAGCCGGCGGAGUCACAUUCAACUAUAAUGUUUUAUUUAGAUAUACGGAUGAAAACAUCACAAGGCAGUCACCACUCAAUAGUAUAGUAUUAAGAUUGACACCGCAGUCACCAUUCAUAUAGUCAUUUGCGGUGGCAACUAAAAGAUAUAAUAAAUUUGUUGAGAAAUAUAGGUGCGCUUUGACACAAGAAGAGCAUAAAUAUUUGAAUGCGCCUUCUUUGGGUUAGGGCCAUAGAUAUCUUGUUCCAUGUCCACCAACCGAACCUAGCAAUCACAUUCUUCCAUAGAUCUAAACAAAGAAAGAUAGAAUUAAAAUAUGAUAAGUGGUAGCAUAGUGUCUGUUAGUGGUCUGCCCAUGAUGCAUUAAGCAGCACUAUCAGCUUGGUGGGCAAUUAAACAAGACAUGAGAGAGAGAGAGAGAGAGAGAGAGAGAAAACAAGUGUUGGGUCUAUGCAAUUACCGUAGUCCUUUCAGAAAAUGAGUGACUGAGAUAAUUGUUUUUCUGUGAAAUCUUAUGAGUAGGGCGCACAUUUCCUUUUGAUUCAUAACAAAAAAACAGUUUAUUUUAUGAGAAAAUGUUGGUCAAUAGACUAAACCAGAUGUGAACAGUGCAAAAGCUCAGAGAGUAGAAAAACAUCAAGCUACAUUUGGCCUACAGCAUGCCAAGUCAGUAACCUAGUGCUGCUUGCACGUUUGACGCACCCAUGAAUGCUUGGGCGAGGCCAUUACUGUUAGCAAAGUCAGUCCAAAGGAACCGGAUCUAAUUUGAUAAACCUAGCAGUACAUCUUCCAAAAGGACCCAAAAGAAACAAAUAAGAAGAAAUUAUAGGUCAGUCUUUGCAUUUUACACGGAGGAUAUCAGACCAUGAAAUUAGUUUGAAAUUUGGUCCAUACAACAUGCAUCAAUACAGUAACUAACCCAUCGUCACCAGGGGCAAUUUAAAAAGUGCAAACUUCGUGUUUUGGUACAAUCAAUAGUUUGUGUCAUCCACCAUAAUAUAUUGCAAGUUCAACGAGGUUCUUUUAUUCUUAUUGGUGCAAUGAUACAUAUUGGUAUACAUCAACAAAAGUACAGACAUAUCUACGUGGCAAUGCACGUCCAUCUAUGUCUAUGUGGCAUGGAAACCUCCAUGGGAAAUAGGUAUCAAUUGUAGGUCAUAUUUUCUUCCUACGAUGAUCCCAUAUUUCUCGGUCAUGUCCAAAAAUUCCGGGUUUGCCUUGCCAGGAAGCACCCAGUCGAAGUGGUAGAGAAGAUUUGCCAAGGCGAUCUCCAUAGUUGACGUGCCGAAUAGUAUCCCAGGGCACUGCCUCCGACCAACACCCAGUCGAAUGGGGUGAAUUCAAAGUAUGUCCCAUGGUAAUCCAUGUUAUUGUUCUCAAACGUUUCAGGCUUAAACUCUUCAGGACUUUCCCAACAAUUUGGAUCCCUCGAAACUGCAAACGCGUUAAUGUAUACAUUGGUGCCUUCAAGCAUGUCAAAACCCAUAACUUUACGGUCUUCCCUGGCCCUACGGGGGAUCAAAGGACCUGGUGGAUGCAGUCUAAGAACCUCCUAAAUGAUCAUCCACAUGUAAUGGAGUCCAGCGAGGUCACUAUUAGUAAUCACAGCUCGACCUUGACCUAGCACCUCUCGGAUCUCAAUCUGUGCUUUGGCCAUGGCUUCGGGAUGACGGACGAGCUCAGACAUUGCCCACUCCAAGGCAACUCCCGUGGUCUGUGUGGCACCUGCAAAUAUGUCCUGAAAAAUAUUAUUGUGGUAUGCAUGUUUAUAUAUUAUUUCUGCAUAUGUAGUAGUACGCAACAAAUAAUCAAUUUCAGACACAACAAUUUACGUUUAUAAAUCUAUGAAACAAGUUGAGACUAACAGAUUUAUGAAAUGACGAAGCUAGCUUUUUUUGCAUUAAAACUUUGCAGAUAUGAUAUCACAUCGGUAGAUUAAUAAGAAGCAUAAAGAAAAUUACUCACAAAUAAGACGGCACCUAUACUCUCCGUGGUCAUAGGGAAUGUGAACGCGUCCUUCUCCUGGAGCCUGAGUAGCACGUCCAGCAAGUCAUCAUCGUCGGUGCUGGAGGCACCGUCCUGUGUGGCAGCUCGCGUUGCCUUAUGCCCCUCGAUGACGUCGGCGUUGAUACGUUGGAUGUGGCCAUAGCUCCUCCUCAUGUGGCGCUCUCCCUUGCACAGCCACCGCACCAGCCGCGAUGACGGGAAGAGGUCGACGAGGCAGAAACCACCUAGCAGCACGAACGCCUCAUCCAGCUCCCAGAGGUACUCCUCCUGCUGCGGGAACUUGCCGCCAAACACCGCCCGCGACACCACGUCGUUGCUGAGCGCCAUCACCUUCUCGCUGACGUUGACGACGGCACCCAUGGAUGCCGCGUCUGCGACAUAAUGGAGAAGGCUGCCCACCUGGUCUGGCCUGAUACCGUCCAUACGCCUCACCUGCUUGGAGCUGAGGAGCUCCAUGGUGCAGACCUUGCGCAUCUGGCGCCAUGGGUCACCGUAGGGGGCGAAGACGAUGCCCCUCCCGCCGCAGCCGAAGAUGUCCAGCGUCGCGCUGCGAGGCCGGCCAACAAAGGCAAGGUCAUUGGUCUUCAUCACCAGCGCCGCCGCCUCGGCGCUGGAGACGAUCACCGUUGGGACCUCGCCGAGCAUAAGGUGCAUCAGCGGCCCAUGCCGGCGAGACAUCUCCAUCAUCUUGCGGUGCGGGAGCACGCUGGCGACGUGGUGGAGGCUUCCGAUGAAGGGAAGAGUCCAUGGCCCAGGAGGCAGCUGUGUCUUUCUCUUGCCCCCAGAGAGCAUGCGAAACCAGAGGGCCACAAGCGUGCAUAGAGCUAUGAAACACAAACUUAACCAGCCCUCCAUGGAAGGCUACAAGCUGUUCGCAAGUGCAGCUUGGAGUGAGACCCGGUAUAUUUAUGUGACCACCUACAAGUUCUGUUAAAACUCUGGACCUGCUGACUCAUGAACUUCCUAGUGUAUGCAACUAUAUACAAGUCGAGAUUUAUUGGUGUAGAGAACUAAAUUGGUGGCGGCUAGAUUGUUGAUGACAAAAUUUAGAGAUAGUAUGACAAAAUUUAAAUUAUUGGCGGCUAGAUUGCUGAUGACAAAAAUAGUGUACAGUACUAGACCUCUUUCUUCGCUCUAAAUUAUAUAAAUUCCUAGGUUUGCUAUCAGGCAUACUUUACUAUCAUCAUCAAAUGUACUUUGGUCGUGUUGUAUGUAUUAGCUCAUGAAUUUUUCUACAGAGAAAUUUAACAAGGGAAAACACAAUAACUUCAAUUACUUUGAAAUGGAGAAAGUGGAGUUCGAUACUUCUAAUGACUUUUGCACUAACCCAGGGAGACCAAUUUGCAAUCUUUCAUACUCAGCUAGCAGCCAGAAAAGAGAAACCUUAUCUGCCGGAAGCUUCGCCACAUAGCCGCCAGAAAAAGAGCAUGUAUGUUUUAGUAUUAAAAGAUAUGUCCGGCGGAAAAAACAACUUGUAUGCGUUUUGAAGGAAGAUGCAAUCACAAACCAAACCAGACCCAUAGUGCUAUAAACCAGAACAAUAUUGCCAGAAGCUUCACCACAUAGCUUCCGAAUUCUUUUGUGCAAGAUGCUUGAGUUCGUAAUGCCCGUGCUAAAUUUGGUGAAGUUUGGACAUUCGAUGAGCCAUGUCAAAAAAGACAAAAUGACCUCCGAACAAUGCAGAACAUCAAACUUGCUCACAUGCCUGAUUGUUUUUUGCAGACAGCUCCUAAAAUGUCCAAACUUCACCACAUUUGGCUUACUAGGUCUGGAGAGUUUACAGUUAAAUCAAUGUAUCUUGAUGUUAUUAAUUCAACCUCUCUUCCUAGUUCCAAAUAUGCUUGGGCAGUCAAAGUUCCUCUGAAAAUUAAAGUGUUUAUGUGGUUUGUACAUAAAAGAGUUAUUUAACCAAGGACAAUUUGGUAAAGCAAAAUUGGACAUGACCUACUAGGUGUAGUUUCUGUGAUCAGGAUGAAACCAUCAAACACCUUUUUCUUGAUUGCCCGUUGGCCAAGGUUCUAUGAUGGACGGUCCACAUUGCCUAUAAUAUUACUCCUCCGAGUUCUAUCAGCACGUUAUUUGGAACGUGGCUUAACGGGAUAGAGUCCGAAACAGCGAGACACAUCCGCGUAGGAGUAUGUACUUUAUUAUGGGCAGUCUGAAACUGCAGAAACGAUUUGGUUUUUAACAGAACAAUAAAUAUUCAUUUUUUGCAGGUUAUCUUCCGAGCCACUGCAUUGAUCCGUAUGUGGUCGCUACUCACUCCGACGGAGGCCGGAGAGCAUUUGGUUACUGGAUCUAUCCGGUGGGAGAUGGUAGCGCGGGAUAUUUUCAACCGGUUUGGAUGGCGGUCAUGUAAUAGGAUAGGCAAUUAGUUUACCUAUCUUUCUUUUGCCAGCCGGUUGUGGCGUCUUUUGGCUAGUGUCGUAAUUUUUCUAUGGCUCUUUGUGAGCUUUUCUUUACUUUCAUUACAGACCUUAAGACCUUGUUGAACCUAUUUGCUUAUUUAUAAAGUUGUCCGUAUGCAUCGUUCUGAUGCAGAGGCCGGGGAGUCCCCCCUUUUCGAAAAAAAUACAAGCUUAGUUUGAAAACAUAUAUCAAAAUUACCAUUUAAAAGAAUGCAUAUGUUCAUUUUUUUACAUGUAUACAAGCUUAGUUUGGAAAAACACGCAUGGCACCGGAGGCGGUGGGCGUGUAUAUAUAUAUAUGCAUUCUUUUAAAUGGUAAUUUUGAUAUUUGUUUUUCCAAACUAAGCUUGUAUUUUUUUAGAAACGAUAAAGUUCUUCAUAAAUCCAUUGAAACAUUCUCUAGCAACGCUCAUGAGGAGCAUAUGAGUUCCCUUUUAAUACACAGGCUCGAACUUAUUGUAUUCUGAAUACAUUUCCAUCUAUUCAUUUUUCCCAUGUAAACACGCAGUUGGGCACCAUGUUGCAUCAUUCAACUAUUCUUUAUUACCUCAUCCAGAAAUGUUUCUUUCUGGUUUCCUUGAUUUAACAUAACAAGAUACUUUUUAUAACUUAUCCGCGCAUGUAUAUGCUCAGAUUGUGGUGACCACAUGUCUCCUACGUACUCCCUCCGUUCCUAAAUAUAAGUCUUUGUAGAGAUUCCACUAUGGACUACAUACGGAGCAAAAUGAGUGAACCCGCACUCUAAAAUGCAUCUAUAUACAUCCGUAUGUGGUUUAUAGUGAAAUCUCUACAAAGACUUAUAUUUAGGAACAGAGGGAGUACUAACUAAAGUUUGAUGGAUUAUUGCAUGAUUGCGAUGCUUAUCUGCUCAUUUAUUUUUACAGUUGGUGAUCAGAUCGGAUUCGAGGAUCAUCGUCUCUCAUGUGUUACGUAUUAGUGAUCCUACAUGAUAGUGGAGAAUGUACGAAUAUGCAGCGUUGACAGUAACAAGGAAAAAUGGAUGUUUUAUUUUGUUUGUUUGGCUCUGAGAUAUAUUAAAAUUGGACAUAUCCAGGUCUGACUUGUUUUUUCAUAGAGGACACAGCUGCCUACUUGGACAUAUUUGGCCUUUAACCAUAUCUUUUGUUUGUCGCCUUCCAUGUUAUUAUUUUGAUAAAGUUUGAUUUCUUCCUUUCCUAUGCUGUAGAUACUUCUUCUCUUGCAACUGAAAGUACUUCUUCUGAUUACAGUGAGGCGGCUUGAUUAAUCAUUGGCCUCAUGGCAAAAUUGGGGACGGAGGAGGGAGGUGGCUUCAUAUAAGCAUGACUCCAAAAGAUCAGGGUAUGUAUGCCAGCAUGCACUGGAGUUGUUGGAUAAGUUCCUUUUUGUCAAAACACAUUUCAUUUUGUUAUUAGAAUGCUGGCCUGGUGUACACUGAUCAGUUGUGGUAUUCUUUCCCUGUGCAGGAGAUCAAACCGAAGAAAGAUAACACUCAACGCAACAUGCUCGUGUCGAUGAUAUGGGUGCAGAGGAAGAGUGUGUGGAUGAUCAGUGAGAGCAGGUACGUGCUUACCAGCCAGCGCAAGAGCAUCUGGUGGGCCCGGUAGAUCCCCAGGGAGGAGUAGGCGGGCGUAUAUUGUCCAUUUCUUCUGUAAAAAAAUGUCACUCUACACAAUAUAAUUGUUUAGAACAACACAUACUCGACUAAUCAUCCUUUAUAAAUCAACAGGCUUGUACGAGAUGUUAAAAUGUGUUCCUAUCUGUCUACCAUUAUUCCUCUAUUUUAUAAGUGUUAAUUUCAUUGAUUUCUUACUUAUAUGUAUAUACUGAUUGCAGAUUUGCUAGAAUGUCACUUUGCAAGACAUAUGAUCCAAUCCAUGUUUUGUCCUUACAAAUAGAUAAAUGCAUGAAGGCAUUGAGAUAGGUGGUGCAGAUGCUUACUUGUUGUCAACAUUAGAUGGUGGUUUGGUAAGUGACUAUUUUGAAAAAUAUUUUCUCAGUCUAACAUGUACACUAUAUUCACAUAGUAGCCUUGCUUCUGCACCCCAUCUCUCUCUAUAGCCUGUAUCUGCACCGCUCUUUGAUCUAAUUUUUGUCCCAAAAUCUUAGGCAGUUUGUUCCCUAUAAAAUAACAUGUAGCAUCAAAAUUUGGAUUUUCAAAAGGUUCUUACAAACUGAAUUUUAUCGAUACCACAUUCAUGAUAAUUUGUCAAUUUGUGUUUGCUUCCAAACACCCUGGCAUAUUAUAAUUUUGAAUAGGAGAGUCACUAGUAUACCUCUACUUGACUAGCUCAUUGAUCAAAGAUGGUUAUGUUUCCUAACCAUAUACAUGAGUUGUUAUUUGAUUAACGGGAUCACAUCAUUAGGAGAAUGAUGUGUUUGACUUGACCCAUUCCGUUAGCUUAGCACUUGAUCGUUUUAGUAUUCUGCUAUUGCUUUCUUCAUGACUUAUACAUGUUCCUAUAACUAUGAGAUUAUGCAACUCCCUUUUACCGGAGGAACACUUUGUGUGCUACCAAACGUCACAACGUAUCUGGGUGAUUAUAAAGGUGCUCUUGUACUUGUUGGGUUGGUGUAUUUCGAGACUAGGUUUUGUCACUCCGAUUGUCGGAGAGGUAUCUCUGGGCCAUCUCGGUAAUGCACAUCACUAUAAGCCUUGCAACCAUUGUAACUAAUGAGUUAGUUGCGGGAUGAUGUAUUACGGAACGAGUAAAGAGACUUUCCGGUAACGAGAUUGAACUAGGUAUUUAGAUACCGACGAUCGAAUCUCGGGCAAGUAACAUACCGAUUUCAAAGGGAACAACGUAUGUUGUUAUGCGGUUUGACCGAUAAAGAUCUUCAUAGAAUAUGUAGGAGCAUCCAGGUUCCGCUAUUGGUUCUGCGUGUAAUGCCUUUUGUACUAACCCCAUCGCUGAGACCAAUUUGCAAUAUUCGUAGCCAGACAAGAGAAAACGGCCCAAACUUUCAUACUGUAUACUCACUUAAUUUUUACAUUUAUAUAUACCUGCAGAGUCCAGAAAUGUAAGUUAUCAGUACCACUACCACUGCACUUGCAAAGCUGCCUGCCAUGGAGGGGUGGUUCAGCUUGUGUUUCAUUGCACUAGGCACGCCGAUUGCCCUUUGGCUUCUCAAGCUCGCCGGCGCCGGCGGCAAGAACAAACCACACAAGCACCAGCUGCCGCCAGGGCCAUGGACACUCCCGAUAAUCGGCAGCCUCCACCACGUGGUUAGCCUCGUCCCACACCGGCAAAUCACGCAGUUGUGUCGCCGAUAUGGGCCAAUGAUGCACCUGAAGCUAGGCGAGGUCGACGCCGUGGUGGUCUCCAGCGCCGAGGCGGUGGCGCAGGUGAUGAAGACCAACGAUCUCGCGUUCGCCACCAGGCCAGGCACGCCGAUGCAGGACAUCGCCGGCUGUGGCGGCAGGGGCAUCAUCUUCGCCCCCUACGGCGACCACUGGCGCCAGAUGCGCAAGGUCUGCAUUGUGGAGCUGCUCAGCUCCAUGCAGGUCAGGCGCAUGGAGAGCAUCCGGCCAGAGGAGGUUGGCAACCUCCUGGCCGACAUCGCCACUGCUGCGGCGGCCAGCGACAGCAUCAACAUCAGUGAGAAGAUGAUGGAGGUCAGCAACAACGUCAUGCCGCGGGCGGUGUUCGGCGGCAGGUUCACGCUGCAGGACGAGUACAUCCGCGAGUUAGACGUGGUGCUCACCCUGCUAGGCGGCUUCUGCCUCGUCGACCUCUUCCCGUUGUUGCGGUUGGCGCGGUGGCUCAGCUUCGGCGCACGGCGCAUGAAGAGGAGCUACAGCCACAUGCAAUGCAUCAUCGUCAACGUGAUCGAGGAGCGCAAGGCCGCGCGAGCUGCUGGUGAUGGCGCCUCAAGCACCCACGACGAGGACCUGCUGGACGUGCUGCUCAGGCUACAGAAGGAUGAUUCGUUGGCAUUCCCUCUAACCACAGAGAGCAUAUGCGCCAUCUUAUUUGUGAGUAUUUUUAACAAAAGAAACUUUUUUUUACUGCUAGCUGAUGCAAACAACGGCACAAAUUUUGCAUAUGACACGAGAUAGGAAAGAUUGAUUACUUUUGUUCCGACAAACUUAAAUCAUUAACCAUUUAUUUAACAUUAUCUAUGUCAUACAUUUCAAGAUUAUUUCUUUCUGCUCAGAAUUUCUGGUAAUCUACCAGUUACCGGAAAUUUUGAUGACCCCCCAGAAACUGUGGUAACAUUCAAUAAGAUUCAAAUGACCUCAUAAACAUGUGAAUGAUAGUGUGAAUGAAUUCAAGCCGGUCUUUUGCUUUCCAAUCACUAUUGCAAAGACACGUGUAGCAGAUCCAAAUACAAGAUAAUAUAAGGAAAAAAACAUACUUGACAAACCAAAGACCUAGACAUUGAUGUUAUCUCUCUCUCUCUCUCUCUCUCUCUCUCUCUCUCUCUGUCUCUCUCUCAAAUCAUACCGCGUGCUUGUUGUCUAGAAAAAGAGGAUCGAUCUUAAGUUCUCCACCAAUAAAUAUUUACCCUUAAAAAACAAUAAAUAUUUAAUGUUCUACAAUAAUAACACAACACUUGAUACAUAUAUAAAUGGAAGAAUUCUCAUAUUCCCUUUGAAUAGGUCAAUUUACAUACCGAAAUGCCGAACACGAAGGACCCCACAACGACCACGGUGGUGCUAGCGACAAGUAACCAAACUAAAAAUAGUGUAAAACCGAGACGGGAUUCCAGCAAUAAAAAUCAUUCUCAUGCAUUAUUACAAACCCCAUCCACAAUGUUUUGAAAAUGAAAAAUAAUGAAAUUAAAAGGAUAAUCCAACAGACGUAACUGACGAUGUACCUCAAUCCCCAUCCACACAAUAAAGGACACAUGCCACUCCGGAACUGCAACAUAACGGAAUUUCAUCAAUUCCAAAAGCUAGAAUUAUAAUGGCGAGUAGAAGCUCAACAAACAAAAGAAGUCAUGCCUCCUACUAGCCAUCCAACAAGCAUUCUUACUCUCCUAUGUGGACAUCAAAGGAAAAAAAUGUAAAACCCAAAGCACCAAUUGCUACCAGAAAGAUAGGGAUAUUAUUAAAGCCAAAUAGACUUCACGGCUACAAGCUAUUUAGAGAAAGUGUUAGAGCACUGACAUGAAAAGAAUAUGAGAUCAAUAUGACUAAUUAAAAAAUGGACAAGACAACUCUUGGCUUAAAAUACCAUUAAUCAAGCAAGCUUUACAACUACAGGCUAUUUAGAGCAAGUGUAGGAGCGCCGACGAGAACACAAUAUGAGUUCAACAAUACGAGUUCAAUAUGGCCAUUAUUUUUUAAUCACAAGAAAUGAGGUUCUAAUGGCUGAUAGAAGAUGAACAUACAAAAAGAAGGUCAUGCAAAAUUCUGAUUCUUUUUAAAAUAUUUGGUUAUCACCGUCUAGACGCAACACAGUUUUAAGUAAGUGGAAAGAAAUAAUCCACACUGGUUUCAUGUUGAAUAGCAUGUACAAGAAUCAAAUAGAAGUGCAUGCUAGCAACAAGGAUAGAGGGAUCGGAUCAACUAGAAAUAAAAAAAAGUCAACAAUGCCCUAGACAGUCGCAACCAACAAUGGAAGAAUUUUCCAUUUUAGGCUCAAGGUAUCGCAAACUUCAAUUCAAAAAGUCCCACAUCAAGAAAAUCGGCUUUUUACGCUAUCAUGCUAAAAAAAACAGUAUACUUAAAGCACCCAUAGGCGAUGCUGAGGGUUCUAUUCUAUAAAUCAUGUUCUCAAAUUUGGUGAUUAUGAGCACUAGGAUUUGAUUAACCGGUAUGUUUUCUAUCAUCUAACUAGUGCUUGUAGCAGAACUGUUAUCUACUUGAACCUUGUACAAAAAACUAGCGUGGUUGCAUCAUGAUAGUGUUGUCACCCUUAAGGGCGUGUGAAAAAACAAAUAAAAUUACAGGUGAAAAAUAACAUAUACAUCCACUUCUUGUUUUUCUCAUCAUUUGGCUUAUGUCAAUGAUACCAAAAGUGAAAAAAAAACUAGUGAGAAUCAAUAUUUAUGUUUUGCACAUAAAGAUGAACAAGGACACUCAACUGGAAAUAUGGUAAAAAAGAUGAGCAUAAACUAACCGCACUCUUAAAAUGAUUCAGAAAACAAGCACAAGAUGAAACCAAGAACUAUAUAUGUGAUGACAUCAUUUUUUUCUCCAACAAGCCUGCUUAUUCUCUUAUGUAAUCAUCAAAUGGACAAAAAAUAAUUCAAUCUCAAACCCAAAGCACCAACUGCCACCAAAAAGGUAGGGAUUUUAUCAAGGCCAAAUAUACUUCUGGCUACAAACUUUUUAGAGAAAGUGUUAGAGCGGUGACAUGAACGCGGUAUGAGAUCAACAUGACCAAUUAGUAGACGGACAACACAACUCUUGACUAAAAACACCAUUAAUCAACCAGGCUAAAAAUCGCUCAUUACAACUAAAUGGUCUAUAAAGAGUUAGGCUACUUCAACACAUUCAGACUAUUUUUGUUGUCUCGGUUUUACUAUUAAUUUUCAGUAAGAAAUAAGGUUAUAUACGCCCGCAAGGGCAAACCAUCCUUUACGCAUUUGUAUGUAUCGUAUUGUACAUACACAAACAUUUGUUCAUACUUCCAUACUGCAAUGUACUUACACUACUUUACUUUCUUUGGGGCAGAACUUAGGUCAGAGUAACUGUAAUUCGUUCCAAACACUGCUCGGCCGGUUUGCUAGCAGUGCGUGUGUGCAAAUUGUUUCCUGGCUGACCUCUUGAUUUUAUAUCCAUGAUGUACUGGUGGUUUGGGAGUUACUUCUUUUUCUUAUGAAAUUUAUCUCAUGAGUUUUCUGGUGUAGUCCGCAGCCAACUUGCACGUUUCAGAAUUUACUUACAUGAGUUUUUUGGUUGCAGUCUGCAUGCAACCUUUGGAUUUCAGAACUUACCUCUAGAGUUUUCUUGUUGUAGUCUACGUGAAACCUUCAGGUUUCAGAAUUUACCUCCGGAGUUUUCUCGGUGUAGUAUGCAUGUAACUUUCAGGUUUCAGAAUUUACCUCCGGAGUUUUCCGGCUGUAGUCUGCAUGCGACUUUCACGUUUGAGAAUGCGAUUAUGUCAACUUCAUCUAGGUCUGCACUACAAAGAGAACAACCUUUAGUAUGUAAGAUUUAUAAACUUGUUCAAGAAAAAAAAUCAAUUUUUUGUCCCAAAAGCAACCCAGCCAGAAAGCUGGAGUUGCUCUACGCAGUAGAAAACGCCCACUGUUUAGUUUUCAUAAUAAUAAAAAGGGCACUAUAUGUAUACAUUAGUUUGCAAGGUCAGCUGCAAACAGCAACAAAAAAUAAUAAUAUGAGGAUCAACAGACACAUGAUUGAUUAAACAUUUAAGGAGUUCAGACAAAGAUGUGUAGCGUGAUCCUGUUCGGUAGGUAGGAAAUCUUCAAGAAACAAGGCCUAGCUGGGUCAGUUCAUAAAGUUGUUAAAAUUGUAAUAUAGCCUUCCAUCUUGUAGGACCAAGCCUCCUUAUCAAAUUUGUAAUGCACAAGAGAAGACCAUGGUUGGGAUCAAAAUAUUACACUUACUAAUAAUCGUUUUAUUUAUGCAACCAGAGCCUGCUUAUCCUUUGGAAAAAAAAUACUAGUACUUACUAAUAAUCUUUUUAUUUAUGCAACCGGAUCCUUUGUUGGACCCUGACAAAAUCCCUUCCAUGAGCAUAUAUGUCGCGCGGUUAUUAAAAAAAGAGAAAAGAGAUACGCGAUGCCUCCCACUCAGACCCAACAACACCCCUGCCUCCCACCCCUCUUGGCCCCCAACAUCAUCCAUGAAAGCAAACUAAAAAAUGAGUACGAUACAGAUUGAGAAAUGCCUGAUGCUAUUGAGCAUAGGAACAAGACAGAAUGAGAAUACAAACAUGAAAUGCAGAUUGGAGAAAAAAAUAUUGAAUGAUGAAAAUGUCAAACAUAGUUACAGACAUAAUACUAAAAACUGAUUACUAAUAAUGAUUAUGUACAAUUAUGUUACUCAUUAGAGGACAGAAAAUAAACAUCCUAACUUACCUAAUGUCCACCAGCAACAUCAAGAUGCGCAAUUACACAAAAAUUAACUAAAGUGAGGGCACCUUGUUCUUUUCCCUAAAGAAUUGAUACUUCUUAUUCUUUCGUGAAGACGUGUUAGUAACUUGUUCUUUUCUGAAAAAGGUAAAAAACAAAUCAAUACUGAGCAGAUAUUUUACAAAGUGAUAUCAUGUAAAAAAACUUUUGUAUUUACAAAAACACAGAGCAAAUCUUGGCUGAAAAAUGUCUAAUAAUCAUCGUGGGGAGAAAGAGGAACAGAGAGGGUAGCUCCACAAAUUGUAGUGACAAGAAAAAUAAAAACACAAAAACUAACAGCUCACAGUUAAUAAGAUGAUAAAGAGCCGAAAAUAAGCUUCAAAUGGUUUACCUUUUGUUGCUAGUCUCCUCCGUCCGUCCCACUUGUCGGAGGAAUGGAUGUAUGUUAUAGAUACAUUCAUUUUUAUGCAUUUCUCUGGCAAGUAUUUCCGGAUGGAGGGAGUAUUAAAUAAGAUUGAGAAAACUAAAGAGAGACUAGCUAAGAAGAAAUGAAGAAGAUUGAAAGUAGGAACCUAAGAGACCGAGAAAGAGAGACUGAACAAAAGAAUGAGAAAAUAAAGAGUGAACAGAUGUAACUGUGAACCAGAGAAAACAGAAAAAAGAAUGAGAUACUCAUGGAAUUGCAAAAACUAAAAAAAAUGGAAGAAUGAGGAUAAAAACAUAAAAACACUAACCAAAUACUAAAUGACAAAGACCUAUGAGGAACAUGACUGAAGAAGUAUGUAAAUCAUGUCACUCCCUCCCUAUUUAAAGAAACAUGACUGAUAACUGAUACAAAACAGAAAAGAUGAACUUAUAAUAAGAACUAAACCCACAUGCUCAUACAGAAUGACUGAAAAUUGAAUGAAAUAAAUUAAAGAUAAAAUGAACUAUAAUAAGAACAUGAAAAUGAGUGUGAUAAACAAACUAAAGAUACUCAAUCUGAACAAUGAUAAUACACUGCCAUUAAUAUAUGACGAUAAAUGACGAAUUAUGGUAUUAAUGACUAAAUGAAGAUAUCUAAAGGGAAAAUGAAGACUAAAGAUGAAAAUAAGACUGAUACAUAGGCUAAGAAAUACUAAAACAGAGAAAAAUGAAAAUUAAAUAGAAUGAAAGUACAACACACUCAAUAUGACUGAAAGAGGAAUAAUGUAGAAAUAUGAAUGAGAAAAUUAAUGAGUAGUGAAGAAAGAACACUGAAUAGUGACUGAAGCAAUACAUCUGAGAGAUAAAACAAAAAGGAGACACCGCGAGGGAACAAAAAAAUUGUUCAUCAGUGGAUGUAGUGCUUUCCAUACAACUCUCGCUGUUUGACGAACCAUCAUCAUGAUCAUAUGCGUACGUAGCAUCCACAUGACGACAUCUGCCCCAUAGAAUCCACAACCCUGCUGCUGCCAAAAAAGAUGAAAAAGAAACAAUAAACUCAUAUGCUGGGGUGCGAGUGAGAUUUCAAAUAACACUGACCGAAACCAAAAAAAAUGCACACAUGGAAACAAAAGAAUGUCGAGUUUCUGAAUCCUGGACUGCAAGUGUCAAAUAAUUCAGUAAGAAAAAUAGAUAGUGGCUGUUCCGGGUUUACGAAAAAAAUAAGAAGUGCGAAAAACUAUAAAAAGUACUCUUGAAAAAUCUUUCCACUACUCGUCGCACUGCCGCGAAAACACAAACCCCACCAUUGCUGAGAAUAAAAAAAGUAAUGGGCUGCUACACACAUCUGUACUGACCGCAGAAAUCCUACACAUAUAUGACGGACAGUGAAGUAAACUUUCAUCCAUCAGGUCUUGAUGGAAUGACCUGACUGCCCCAUCAUAACAAAUGGAAUUAAAACAUGCAUGAUAAUUGGGAUUUAGCAGUUCCAGCAUAAGCACGCUUGCCUAAGCUGGGACAAAGACCAUAAGCACACAUGACACAUUCAGAAGUACAAGGAUCACAAUCCUAAAAUCCCUUUUUUGGGUUUCAUAUUGGGAUCUUGCAACUACCCAAAAAUGGGGGUAGCAGGCAGGACGUGGAAUUACCGCAGCGAUGGUACAUACAUACAUAAAACAAAGCACACACUCUGUAACUCUGUCCUUAUUGCUAAUCUUCUUCUUACCCAAUGGAGCUUCAGAUCCCCAUAACUAAGCUCGAUUUCACACCAUAAUCUGAAAAACAAAACAAAUCUAAUAUAUAUGCAAAAUUUUGCCAUAACACAGUACCUCAGAAGACCGAAAGUCCCUUGCGAAUAUAAAUGUGCCGACCUCCAUGGCAGGAACAAAAUCAACACAGAUGGCCUGAAUGAACUGACGCUGAGCAAGCCAACUCGGGGGAGGCAAUGAAAAGCCGGGGAGGAGGAUGUUGGAAACGCUGGCCGUAACUUACGCCAGCCCAUAUGGGCGACGGCUGGUUCCGGCCUCCCCGCCUGCUGCUGACAAACCCCAACGGGAGAGCUCCGCCAACCCGCUCUCCGUACCACCCUUUCUCCUUCCUCCCUCUGAUCCCCGGUAGCUGGUCACGCUUCAUGGCUGGGACGUGGGUCCACUGCUCGUCAACAUGGGAUCCGUGCCCUAGCACCCCCCCCCCCCCUAGGUGAGAGGGAGUAAGGGCAACAUUUCUAUGGCUUCUGCUUGAAAUGUUGACCUCACUGUUACAGCUUUAAAACCAAAACAUGAAGCCAUAGAAAGACAUGAGUAACAUCGAAACGAUGAAUCGAUCAAAUGUUGAUGUGCUACCUUUUCUCAAUCAAACACGUGCCUCGUAGGACAAGGACAUACCUGUGUAUCGAUCUUGCCAGGCUUACGGUUUUUAGCGUUGCUGCUUGUCCGACGACUUGCUGUUCAUAUCUUGUGUUGGAUGCCUAGUAGAGACAUCAACAUCAUCACUACAACAUGUUCGGACACAAAAGAGAAGCCAUCAGUUGGCGUGGCAAGAUUUCUAUGAAGAAGAAGAAAACAAGAUUAGAUCAAGAAACAACUAUCAGUUGGCGUGGCAAGAUUUCUAUCAAAAAGAAGAAGAAAUAUUAGAUCAAGAAACAGCAUGCAUGCUCUUACAUAUAAGGCGGAUCAACGAGUGCUAGGCGGCAGGCACAUGCAUGGCCGGCAAACCAUGAUCGGUCUAAGGGCCACCACGCACAGCUGCGCCGGGCAUGUCGACUGGUCUUAACUCGCUCCGCAUCUCUUGCACGGCAGCGUGGUGCUAGCCGGACAACACAUCGGCGUGGGCAUGGCACAACCCUGAGCUGCCGGUGGAUGUACAUGACGCUGCUUAGAUCGACCGUCGCCAUCUACAACGUGGAGAUUGAGGAGAGGGAAGGAGGAGGAAGGUGUGGGGCGGGGCGGGGCCGGGCUGGUCGAGAUCAAGGGGGCGUCCAUUUAUAGAGGAGAGGAGAGGAGAGGGGGGUCGUGGGCAGCGAUGAGAUGACUGAGCCGGGGACGCGGGGAGGCAUCGGAUGGGAGUGUGAUCCGCGUGAGGCGUGUGGAUUGGAUCGCAUGCGGAGCGGGGGAGGAAGGGAGGGAGGCGGCGCGUGGAUGCAUGGGGUAGUUAAAUGCGGUGUCGAUUGAAGGUUUCCAGGAGGAGGAAGCAUGCGUCGGUUUGGGAAGAGGAUAGAAUUAAUGGGUGCCUAGUUUCAAGGAGGAAGACGAGGGAAUCAAGGGAGGGUCUCUUGAAGGAAGGAAGGAAAGAGGUGUAUUCAUCCAGCCGUGGAAAACGCUAGCUGCAUGCAGUAAUUAUUCCUUUAAUUUCCUUCCUUGUCGCCAGAUUGACGCAUACGCGCGACGGAUUCCCUCUCUGACUCUCUCUAUGGUAUGGUAUGAUAUGUACAGCACAAACGAUUUAGUCCCAGCGCUCUCAGAAAUUACGCCAGCCACGUAAAGGUAGCCAGGCACUUUCCAUGCGUUCAAAUGAUUUAGUAUCAAGUUUCCUAGUGUCCCUCAAUUUGUAAGAUUUUAUUAUGUAUGCAGUAACUUCUUCCCAUUUGCUCGUGUCAGUUUUUAUUUUUUUAGGGAAUUUGCUCGUGUCUAUAUCUUUAUUUUUAUCUGUUUGAAGGAAUUUGCUCAUCUAAGACAAGACUCGUUCUCUAUAUAGCCAGGUGGGUUUUUUCUGUUCACAAUUUGAUUUUCUCAUGUAAGAUAAGACACCAGGUUUGCAAGUGCAUUCCUAGCAUAAAAGGUUUUUCUGUUCACAAUUUGAUUUUCUCACAUAAGAUAAGACACCAGGUUUGCAAGUGCAUUCCUAGCAUAAAAACACCGGCUCCAAUCCAAUUACCAGGUUGGCAAGUUUCAAAGUCCCUGCAUUGAACAUUUUUUCAUAACUUGUUAGAUUAUAAUUGAAAAAACCCAGAGAACACUCAGUCAUUCUUGACACCGACAAACUCGGUACUCUCCUCUCCUAGGACAAUGAAAAUUUUCUUGUUGUACCAUACAAAACACCGACAAAUAGCUCAGGAAUUCCUUGAUGCAAUUAAUAAUAUGAUCAACUUAACUCUUGAUGCAGUUAACCCAGAAAGAAAAUUCCCAUAACGAUGCACAUCAUUUCACAUCCCAACCUUCACAAUGAAGAUGUUACUUCCACCAGAUAUGAUCAAAUAGGAACACGCAUGCAUGUGCGCGCGCACACACAGCGCAGUGCAAUACAUCUUCACCAAAACAAAGUUAAAUAUCUAUGUCAUCAACUACUUCUCAGAUGAGGUGAUAAAAAACAUCUCGAGUCCACUACACAUCCCAGGAAGCACAGGUACUUCGCGUCCUUCCAUCACAAACAUUACAACAUGAUAGAGCCAAACUACUACAUACAUGGCUUAAUUCUGAAACCUAACCCAUCAAUGGAGAAAGCUCAAGGACGACGCCGCCAUCCAGUGCAUCUUUAUCAGCGGAGAAAGCCCGAGGACGACUGCACCAUCCAGUGCAUCUUCAUCAGCGGAGAGAGCCCGAGGACAACGACGCCAUCCAGUGCAUCUUCAUCAGCGAAGAAAGCACGAGGACGACGGCGCCAUCGUGUGCAUCUUCAAGCCCAAACCGCGUCAACUUCUGCAGCACCGCUUGGCAAGAGAAAAUGACCGGUGUCGUGCGCGAUGGAGAUUUUCCAUCAUGUCCGAUAGGUUUGAUGGACGAAAGGAGUAUCUUCCCGAGGAAUGCAAUCUGGGUGGACAUAAAAAGACCAGUCUAGUGCAGAGGCAAUGUAAUGCAUCAGAGGAAUGUUAGAUUUCUCAGCAGUAAGCCACACAACAAUUCUCUUGUGUCAAAGGGAAUUUACAGGAAUUAACAAGACAACAUCUUCCCCUAAAAACAAUGCAUACUUAUUCACCAGCCUAGGAAUGCAAAAUGCUCGUUCCAGUUCCACACAAUGAAAGUUAAGUGUUGGACCUUAUCAAGACAAGACAAAAUUGCCAUAGAUAGGCUCACUUGUGUGACCAGCAGAAGAAUUUUCGCUACAAGAUCUCAUCUUGGCUUGUCAAAUCUCAUACUAGACAAAUUGUUGGACACUAGUGAAAACAAGCAACAUCUCCGGGUAAUUGACGACCGGGACACGCAGGACAUGAGAGAGAGAGAGAGAGCAAAGAGAGAUACCUUGACGAUCUCCAUGGCGUCGGCAGCGGGGUCGGAGCAGCUGCUGCGUCCAUGGAAGAGGCGGCACACAGUGGUCUACGCCUGAGGACACCAACAUUAUCAAGUUAGUAUGUGUCGUUAGUAUCAACCUGAAGAUAAAUCUGUUGCAGAGUUUUCAGUUUUCUGAAGAAAGAAGGAACUAAAAGUUUCAGGUUUCUGCAGUUUAGUCGUCUCUGAACAUAAAUUGCAGCAAGCAAGCAAGCAAAUAUGGAUGGGCAUGAGAGGGAGUAAGGGCCACUGAUGGUGAAUGCUGAACUAGGAUGAGCAGAGCCUGCACUCACCACCCACAUAGAAGGCAAUGACAGAAUCCCUUCCCCUGGCACGAGCUUCGGAUCAGCAGUGGCAUAUGUUCUUGCCUAUUGAGGAUCCUCCAUGGACAAGGGAAGGUGUCACCAGACCACCGCAGUCCAAUUAGUGCUAUACGGCCUGCACAAGGAUCACACGAGACAUGCAUGGUGAAUGCUACAGAAAAACAAGACAAGCGUUUGCUCAAUACAGAAAAACAAGACAAGCGUUUCCUCCAUCGUGGGACCAGCGGCGACCCGGGAAUAAGCAGACCCGGAGGAGCGAAGCGGCGGUCUUCUAGGUCAAAUCGAAACCACCACACAAGCACUUGACAAAGCAGCAUCACAAGCUGCCAGAAUGCAACAUCACAAGCACUUGAGUUACAGUCAAGACCGUCGACAAAAGGGAACGUCAGGCCAUAGUAAGGUUGCUGCGAUGGUGAUUCGAUAAAACAUCACAUACUUUUCUGUACACAGGGCUCCUCUUUUCGUCCUUGAGGGAGUUCCUCUCCUCCACCAAAUCCGUCAUCUCCUCUUUCAAAACAUUGUUAUCAGCGGGAUGGAGUGCUCCUUCCCUGAAGCGGGCGUCUGGAACGGCGGUUCAUAUCAUGUCCUCAAUGUCCUGCACUCCACCUUGGUCAACAUUGAGGGUCUCUGUUGGGCAAACAUCAACGUCAAAGCAGAGAAAUGGAGUCACACCAAUGGACAUGGCAGCAUUUAAGAAAUGGAAAUACAUAACUAGUACUCCCUCUGUAAAGAAAUAUAAGAGCGUUUACAUCACCGCUUUAGUGAUCUAGACGCACUUAUAUUUGUUUACAGAGGGAGUAUAUGUGAUAGUGUUACCAGUGCAAGAGAGAGAAAUUGCAAUCUUACGCAGUUUGAAUAUCAUUGCAAAAGGAUCAAGCCAAAGGGAUAAACUGCAAUUAAGCCAAAGGGAUCAAGCAAAUACUUGUAUCACACAGGGAAGGUGGUUGAGUAGUGCUGUACUGGACCUCAUCCCUUCCCCUCCUCCUCCUCCUCCUCCCUCUCCCAGUCGUACCUCUUCUUUACUUCCUCUACCUGUCACAGUUGCAAGUAAAUUGGAAGGCUCUGUUUUCAUUGCAAAUCACAGUUGCUCUCUACUCCAGUUUCUAGCACUCUUCUUGUAUCGUACUACUUGUCAUAAUGUACUAUAUCAAUAAGAUGCUUCAUUUACAAUGUAUUGUACUGGAGGCUACUCCAUUUAUAAUUUACUAUGCUUCUAAUAAUGUAUAUCAUUACUAGCGUCGAGUAUUGUAUUUACACCAAUGGAAAUAAGAUUACUGCAUUGAUACUUACUGCUUCUUUUUCGCUUAUCUACUGGUUUUUGCUAUGAUGGUAAUUUUAUUUCCAUAGUUACUAAUAAUAAAUAUUUUUUUUUCAUUUCUUAAUAAAUCUAACCAACUCUCAGGUAUAUACGCAUGUCUCAACUACUCCCUCCGUUUCUAAAUAUAAGAUUUUUUAGAGAUUACAAUAAAGAAUACAUAUGGAGCAAAAUGUGUGAAUCUACGCUAUGAAAUACGUCUAUAUACACCCGUACGUAGUCCUUAUUGAAAUCUCUAAAAUGUCUUAUAUUUAGAGACGGAGGGCGUAACAAGACUAUCCUAUGACCGAGUUGACCCCUAGAAACCGGAUUCCCAUUUCAAAAGCCUCCCGUGCAUGAAAAUUUUACCCACAAACAUUGAGUCCUAAACUUCUUUUUUGGGUAUAUAUUGUAGAAAGAAUAGAGAGGAAGGUUGACAAAAUGAGGUGGGUUCUAUUGUUGUAUCGCUUGAGCCCCGUGGACGUAUUUAUAGGAGUACAUGAUCAACUUGGAGUAUAAGACAAGUUAGAACAAAUCCUAAUAUAUCCUAUAUUUUCUAAUAAUCACAAUACUCAACAUCCCUCCACAGUCACAAAGGUAGCGACGCAGACGGUGAGACAGGAGAAGAAUCCUAAGGUAAGCCGAUGGACACCAUCCCCCCUCCCUAGUCGUAACGAUCGAUGCAUAGCAGAAGAUGUGGCUGGAGUGAAACCGAUGAGAUUGCUCCAUCAAGUCGUCCCUUUGUGCCGAUGUCAAUCUAACCGAGAGCGUAGGAUGGUGUAUCCAUGUUUAAGGUAGCCAUGCCAGGGAUGACAUGGUCGAUGUCAACUCGGGGUGGUCGAUGUUGAGUUAGUCGCCAUGGCGCCGCAGGCGCAAGGAAGCGCCGUGGUAGUCUUCGGAGCAGUGUUGUCGAGGUAGUGGUGCACCGGGAAGAAGACGGUGUUGAUGAGUUGUCACGCUAGGUUUGUCAAGGCCAGGCACACGUCAUGGACGAAGGCACGCGUCGGUGUUGCCAGCCUCGGGCAUGCUAGACGGACGAACUCGAUGUUGACGAGGCGCCACACCAAGCUUACCAGGCCCGAGGACACAUCAUGGACGAAGGCACACGUCGGUGUUGCCAGCACUUGGCAUGCCUAGAUGAGGAUCCGCACGAGUUAUAUGCCAUUGUAACACCCCUAUGUAAGGAGCUAAAGUGAUCAUCAUAAGCUACUUUGAUUAACUAGUCUUGAUCAACGUUGAUUCAUAUCUUAUUUAAAUUCCACUUCAAAUCAAAUUCAAAUUGUAAGAGGAAUUAAGAAUUUCAGAAAUAAGAAAACUAAAAAGUUCAGGCAAUGGCAAAUAAUCAUUGAAUAAUUGUCAUGGUGAAACCAAUAUUUUAUAUAAAGUAAUUAAAUACCCUAAAACAAUUAAAACACGGUGCAAAACAAUAUUUUAAUUGCUUUUAAAGUUAUAAGAAUUCUAAAGUAAUUUAAAAGCCUCCCAAACUUUUCCUGGCAUUGUCCAAAAUUGCACUUUAAAUAAUGGGCGAAGUUCCUACUUUUACUAAACCUAUUUGCUAUUUAAAAUAAUUAAAAAACAGAAUUAAAUAAAUGAAAACAGAAAAAUAAAAAUAAAAAGAAAUAGUUUAAGAAAAAGAAAAGUGGCACUGUGUCGGCCCAGCCCACCGAUCGUGUUGGCUUCAACAUAGCUACAGUGGCCGACCGAGGGCACGAGCGCCGCUCGUCCCCGUCGGACCACCUCAUCAGCUUCGCCGUGGGAGGAUAAGUCCGCCACCCACACAGCCCCUCGGACUCCUCCCCUCUCACUCACUUACCCCCUACUAGAUCCCCCCUCUUCCUUUAGCUCCCUGCGUCGAACUGGAGAAGCGCCCGAUGCGACCGUCGCCGACGCCCCGUCGAUCCCGCGGCCAUCUUCACCCCUGCGCCUCCCCGUCAUGUCAUAGAGUGCCGCUGCACGCUACGCCGCAUGCUACCUCGAGCUGGAACUGGGGACCCCUGCAAUGCCGCCCCGACCUCUUCUUCCUCCUUGGGCACCACCGCAGUCCCCAUCGAUUCGGCGCCAUGAGCCUCCCCCGAGCCCACGUUUGCACCUCUACAGGCUCCCCGUGAGCUUCCGCUCGGAUCCCCUUCGUCUCCCCCAUCCUUCCGCGCCAUAGCUCGCCUCGCCGCCAUGGCCGCACCCAAUGCCGCGGUAGAGCUCGCUGCCGUGGCCACUGCUCGCGUCCGAGCACAGCAUCGUGCUCAGCUUCUCCCUAGCAACCCAACGCCACCAUCCACUGCCUUUGUCGUGCCCCGUAGCGACGAACCCGAGAUCACCCGAACGCCACCACCACCACCGAUGAUGUUCCGCUGAACUCCCACCAUCUCAGCCACUCCCACCGACACCAAACAAUGCGACAUCGCUUGCUCUUUUGAACGAGCCAACCCACGGGGCCGGAGACUCCCUGUGCGCAUAUUCCGGCCAACUACGGCACGUCACCACCUUGAAAUCGAGUCGCUGGAACCCCUCUAGCACCGCCACAGAUAUGGCUGGCUUGGGGCCCACCCAUGUGUCACUGCCAGUGGGCCCCAGGGGCCUAGCUGACCCGUUGACCCCGGUCAACUGUGCUAACUGGGCAGCACAGUCACUGACUGGUGGGCCACCCACCUAAUUAACUAAAAUGUUAAUUAAUUUAAUUGGUUAAAUUUAAUUAGACACUGACAAAUGGGCCCUAAUAACUAAUUAGCUUAAUUAGUUAAAUUGAAACCUAUUAAUUUUUAUUGAGUCACUAACAAUGGGGUUCCACUUGUCAGUUUGACUAGUCAACUGCCAAUGUUGACUACUCACUGGGCUUUGACUUGCCCCACAUGUCAGCCUAUGAAGCACAUCAUAACAUUUAGUAUUUAAUGUAUUUUCGAAUUAACUUAAUUACAAUUUUUUUGGAAAAUCAUUUAAACUCCAAAAAAUCAUAUAAAGUAAUAUAUAACUGAAAUGAAAAUAAGUUAUAUAUGAAAAUUUCUAAGAAAAAUAUAAAAAAUCCAAAAAUGAUAUCCACUCAUCUGUCCCAUAACUGCCAAACGCUGGGAAAACAUUUCUAGAUGUUUUCCCGCUUCGUCUGUAACGUGUAGCACUAUGUUAGAUCACCGCUAGGUCAGCAUAUUUCCAUGUCAUGCAUCAUGAUGCAUUUAUUUGCUUUAUAUUUGUUGUUUCUCCCCCUCUCCUCUCCGGUAGACCCCGAGACUGACGAUGGUCCUAGGUAUGACUACACACCUGACGAUCAGCCCUUUUUCACAGAGCUUCCAGGCAAGAAAAAGCCCCUUGAUCAUUCCUAUAUCGCCCAUACUUUCUCUCUCAUGCUUGCAUUCGAUUUUGCUAAUGUUGUUGAUAACUCCUAUUCUGAUGCAUAGCCUGCUUUUGUAACCUGCGGUUGUUACUUUACCUGAUAUCCUAUAUGCUUAGUAUAGGUUGGUUAGUGAUCCAUCAGUGACCCUUCGCCUUGUCCCUGUUGCCCCCACUUUAUUACCGAAUGAAUCGAUCAAUGUGAUCGACGUACUGAGACCAACACAUCACUGCACCCCCCCCCUUAGUUGUACAACUCUGUAGAGAUACUAUCGAGUGCCGAGGGUGAUACCUCGAAAUGCACUCCUGAUAAUAUCUCUGUAGUGUAGCUAAUCGGUUGUGGAUUAUGGAGGGUGAUUCCUCCUUCACCACUCCCAAUAUUGACUCUGUCGUGCAGUUCUUCAAGUGUGAACCUACCGAGGGUGAUUCCUCCAAGUUCACCUUGAUGGUUACAUCGAGUGGGAAUCGAUCGAGGGUGAUUCCUACAAUUCCUCCUUGGUGUUAUCGACACACACUUACCUUUACCUGUUCCCGUCAACUGUUUCUGUGGGACUGAAGGGACAGGUGGUACCACCCCAGUAGAGGUGGACCUGAGUUCCUGAUAGUCUCUUGUGACUGAGGAUGACCUGGAGGGUACCUGUGAGAUAAUUACGAGGCACGGCCGGGCAUUCUUGGCCCUUGCCGUAAGUUCGAGAGACAGAGCAAUAGGACCACGGAUCAUGGAUCAUUGAUCCUCUCCGCGCUCUCCCAAGACACUAAUUGAUUUGGAUAUGUGCACUGUUCUAUAAUUCAUCCGAUUAAUCAGUAAAUUGGCUAGUUAAUCGCUACUCAUCAGGUGGCCGAAUCGAAUAAGACCUAUUCAUCAUGUUAACUUGCCAGUCCGAUUAAAUGGUCUAUUAGACCAGUUAAAUGGUCUGUUAGACCGAUUAGUCGGUUGUUAGGCCGAUUAAUCGAUGUCGGCCCGCUAACUCAUGGGCAUACAAAGCCCAAUUAUUUGGCCCGUAACCCUUCUCAGCCCAUACAAAGCCCGAUUAUUUUAUUAAUGUCAAUUGUGCUAAUAAUAUGCAAAGCCCCAAGCUUGGGGAUGCUAAUUUUUAUACGUCCACUACCUUUUGCAAUUAUCAUGAUUCGGGUGAUUAUUCUUAUGAUAUUGAAAGUUUAUUUAAGCCUCAUGAUGAAUAUCGUUGUGAUAAUAUUGAAAAUGGGUUUGGAAGAUUGUCAGCUCUAGGUAAUAAUGAUCCCACUAAUUUGUAGAAUGAUCCCAAGCUUGGAGACGCGACAAUAGUAGUGUGUCGUGAUGCAGAAGGAAACUACCUCAGCAGCUCUUCCCUGGCGUAACCAAUGUAGCAUUUUAGGAUUAUUUGUUUUCAUAAGAGCAAGUACAAUAGCAGGCUUAUAGCCUGCUUACAUGGCAAUUUUGUCGACAUGGAGGAGAGAGACAUGAAAAAGUAAGCGGAGUGGGCUCCCAUGCAAGAGCCUAACUAUAUGCGUGCUUCAAGGCAGAUGCAAUAAAUACGAAGAAAGAGAUAGAGAGAAGAUGAGGAAAAAUAGUAAUCUUAUAGCCAACCUUAUAGCUAACCUUAUUGUAUGAGUGACUAUAUGAAUUGGCUAUAAAUGAUAUGACAACAUCUUAUAGCUAGCAAUUUGUUGUAUUAUUAAUCAUGCUCUAAUGUUCCUAAUGCAUCAAUACGAAGAGAGUACUAGUAAAGCAGUGACAAGUAAUGUGGAUAGAAGAGAGUAACGCAAUUUCAAAAAUAUGACAACAACCUCAUUAAUGAUAGCAUGUGGCUAUCUAGCCAGGGCCGAGUAAUAAAUGAGGUCCAUCAGAGAGUUCGCUGGCACGUUACGAGUUCAGAUUUAUUUGUUGAGCACCUUGCGAACGAUCAAUCACCAUACUCCCUUUAAAUUGUCAGUUUACAUAUCAAUUUUCAUGCAUUUUCACCACCAAAGGGAUUUUAGACACGUUUGGUUUAAUGCCCAAUUAAUUAGGGCGUGACAACCGCAAUCAAUCACACAAAUUUCUCUCCAUGCAGGUGUGUAUGCGAGGUAGAAUAAAUGCAUGCAUGUGUGUACGUGUUAAUUUCCCCAAUUGUUAGGCGCCGUGGUAUAACCAUAGAUGAUAUUUUUCAGUUUAAUCGCUAAUCACUUUGGUUUCAGAGAUUGUUGAAGCGCGUCGGACUGUGACAAGAGAGUAUUUCACGCCUGUCCAUGCACAGGAUUUUUUAUACUAUCUAUGUCUUGGUUACAGGUCACCGUAUUUUGGGUCAUUUCUUAAUCAUGAUUUGAACUAAUAAAAUCUAAGCUAUACAUUAAAAAAUAAUAUCAUUGGAAACUACAUUCAAAUAUGAAUCCAACAAUAUUAUUUGAUUUGUUGUGACAUGCAUUGACAAUUUGCUAGUCAAAUAUGUGAUUAAAUUUUGACUUAAAAUAUGGGAGGGACUAAUAAACCCUACUCCAAAGUCGAAAGUAUUUUUUUGCACCUACUCAAAAGUUAGCGAUACUUAUUUUCACAACCGUCUAUAGGUGAGCAAUAAAGGUGCAAUAAAGACCGUCCCAUCCCCUGUAUCAGCCAAACAUUGAAUUAUAUUAUAAUGGCAUCUAUGCAGCUCAACUACCGCGUGCCAAGCCCAUGCGUGAGUAAAUACGGCAGGCGCAGCUCAAUCCAUCAAGCCAUGGCAGACUUGCUCCUCCUAACCCUGCUUCCCUUGGCUCUCCUCUUCCUCCUCCUCCACCAUGCAUCGCCAAUCAAAGCCCUUCUCACGAGGGCCAAGUCGGUUCUGGCACCGGAGCUCUCCACGGUGUGGAAGCCACAGCCAGCUAGCAUCUUCGUCACGGACCCCGAGACGGCGCACAGCCUUCUCGUGCGCGGCAGCGCCGGUGGCUCCUUCUCCAACCGCCCACCGUCCAUUUCUCCCAGCGCCAUCCUCUCGCGCCGUCAAUACCAGAACAUCACCUCCGCUCCCUACGGUGAGCACUGGCGCGCCAUUCGUCACAACCUCACAUCGGAGGUCCUCCACCCAACGCAGCUCCACCGGCACGCGUCAGCGCGCCGCCGUGCACUACAUGGACUCGUCGUGGACCUCGCCGAGCAGAGGAAAAACGGCGUGGUUCACGCGGCGGAGAGCAUCCGCUACGCUAUGUUUGGCCUGGUGGCCAACAUGUGUUUCGGCGACGACAUCGACAAUAACCGCGUCCGUGCCAUGGCCGACGCUCAGAGUGACCUCGUCAAGUCCCUAUCUACGGCGCGCGUGUUCGCGCACGCGAAGCUCCCCGCACUGACCAGGCUCAUUUAUCGUAAUCGGUGGAGGAAGCUAGCCGCCCUGCGACAGCAGCAGGAGCAGACGUACCUACCACUCAUCGACUCCCGUCGCGGCCGGCACCGGCGACCCAGCGAGACGCCGGUGUAUGUGGACACGCUCAUCGAUCUCAAGGUGCCGGACGACCACAGUCAGGACCCAAGGCGGCAUCGAAGAAGGCUGUCCGAUGGUGAACUCGUCGGCAUGUGCUCCGAGUUCCUUGGUGCUGGAACUGAAACGACAGCAUCAGCGCUGCAGUGGAUCAUGGCCAACUUGGUGAAGCGUCCUGACAUACAGGAGGCCGUCCGGAAGGAGAUCAAUGCCGUCGUGGGUGCGGACGCCGAGGAAGUCAGCGAGGUUGUUCUUGGGAAGCUGGAGUACCUGCACGCUGUGAUCAUGGAGGCACUCCGGCUGCAUCCGCCGACGUCUUUUGCAUUCAGGCAGGUGAUGGAAGAGGAUCAUGUGGUUCACAAUGGCCGGCGUAUUCCAGUGGGCACAAAAGUGUACUUCCCACUGGCUGCUAUAGCACGAGACAGGACAGCGUGGGAUAACCCUGACGAGUUCAAGCCACAACGGUUCCUGUCCUGCAAGGAUGCAUCCCAAGGAACCGACGGCACGAUCAAAAUGAUGCCUUUCGGCGGUGGUCGGAGGAUGUGCCCUGGUAGGGGUGUCGCAAUGCUGCACUUAAGCUACUUCACCGCCAACCUUGUGAGGGAGUUCCGGUGGAGGGAGGGAGAAGGUGAGCUUGCUGUCGAUCUCCAGCCGCAUGUUGAGUUCUUCACUGUCAUGAAGCGGCCAUUGCGUGCUCACCUAGAGCUUGAAAGGACAGAGAUCAAAACUAGUUAAUUAGCUGGGCUGAUCAAGGUUUCUUGGUUGUACUAUGUUUGCUAAAUGCUAAUAACGAACCAUAUGAAUGUUUUUUGAGCGCCAGUCGAUUCCUCCCCCGUACGCACGCUAAGUGUCGAGCGAAGACGAAGCGUGGCCUGCGAGGACUUGCCAUGAAUGAAUCGGAGCAGGCAACAAAGCCGCUACGUCGUAGGCGGAGGUGAGAUAGAGGCUUUACUAGUUUGGGUGAUGGGCGGUUCCCGGCAUAAAGAACAAAUGGAAUACAUGAUUAUGUUAUCGGUUAAUGCCGUAAUAGUUGUGGUUAAGUCAGCAAUUCCUCAACCCAUGCACUUGAGCAGGCUAGGUAUUUCUUUUAUGAACAUUAUUAUGAAGAUCAUUAAUAUUGUUAACCAUUAAAAACACUUUGUCAAUAGGGAAAAAUAAUAUAUGCAUGAUGAAUGUUAUGCAUAUUUAUAAUUCCGUUUAACAUUUGUAAAUCCACCAAUUAAAUCAUGCUCCUACCUUUAAAAAUAAUCCAGGACCUAUAAUGUACAUGUUAUUUACAUAAAUAGUAAGAUAUUUUAAAUUAAUCAAUCUGGAUACAAAAGCAUAUAUUAAUGUUUGUAGCUUAGCUACCCCAUAGUGUGCGAUGCUCCCUAUUUAUAUCCAUGCAAAACCUUAUGCAGUAGGAUACAUGAUCUGUGGCAGAUGAAACUAGCUCCAAUACACUUGUUCAAGUUUUGUUGUGUACAACACCCAUGGCAGAUGAAACUUGUCAAUCUCUACUUGUCGAGUUGACAGUCAUGUCAAUGCGAAAGAAGGCAUAGCUGUCAGCUUGUCACCCUAAAAUCUGAGCAUGUUGACAAUGGAGGUAGGUGAAUUCGUGAUAGAAGAGGAAGAAGAAAAUAAUAAUUGUGUUAUAUCAAAGUAUACAAAUGAGCUUUGUUUCUCAAAAUAAACAUCCUGAAUUCUACAAGGAUAAAAAUAGCAACAAAUAAACCAAAGUGAUCGUCUUAGUAAAUUCUAUUUUGUUUACUAGGUUAAUGUCACGCUUGUGGCAGGGAAGGGAUAGGACACAUCACAUGCAUAUCCAUUAUCCAUGAUGCAAGUGUAUGAACAUGCGUGAAGUAUGUGGGACACCGAAGAAUUAAGUAAGGCUCUAAAGUGUGGGCUAUAAAUUGGCCUAUACAUCAUUCUCAACAUGGUGCAGAAUGGCCAGACUGUCUUAGCUAUACCUUUGCUGGUUUGUCAGGUCAUUAUAACGGGUAGAUGCAGGUUAGUUAAUACAGAUGGAUGCAACGCUACUCCUAUAGAUAUUAUAAUAUGUGAGAUCGAUCGGAUGUGUACUUGUUUGAAUGGUUAUUCUUGCUUGUCAAGCCACUCUUUAUUUGUCUUUUCACAUUCAUAAUAGCUAAACAUCAGUCGCCUGAAAAUCCAAUUUGGUUUGUUCGAUUUUCGCUAGAAGGAAGCAGGUGCCAGAGGGAAGGAAGAAGCAGCUGCUGACUCGCCGGAGUGAAGGAAGGAGCUCCCUAGGAGGCUACCCCAUCAUCUAUCGUUGAUGAAGGGGGGAGGUAGGGGUGGCAGCACGGCGGUGGUGCAAGUUCGCCGGAGAAAAAACUGGUCAUUGCCGGGGCUGGAGGGAUGGCAAGGGGCAGCAGCAUGUCGGUGGGAGGAGGAUGAGGGGUGGGCGGGGCGGUGAGGCUGAGCAGGAGCGCCGCUGGCCGCGGGUGGUGGUGGUCGACGGUUCGGCCGGUGGUCCAUCUGGCGGUUGGAUGGAGAAGAAGAAAGUUGUCUGGAGGAUAAAGAAGUAAUCUGCACCGCCUGUUUUCCAUCCCAUGGCUGAAACGAAAUCAAAAGAACAUAACUGAAAAUUUAGUCGACUUACCACUAGCCAUUCCCUUCUACAUUCUAUGCAGGGCCGGCCCUGAGGGGGGGCAGAGGGGGCGGCCGCCCCGGGCCCCCAGGAUGCAGGGGCCCCCACCCAGGGUACGUAUACAUUAGCCAGCUAGGCUAAGCCCACUACGCACUAGGACAUGGGCUGAACAUGGAGACGCAGGCUGUGUCUAGCCUAAGGCACACAGCGGCUCGUUCCUCGACUCCUCAUCCGAUGUGUAGCUUGUAGCUGUAGCUUUGACCGCAUGCCUGUUUGGAUGCCUAAUUAUUCCCUUCCGAGUUGGUCAGAUCUAAUCGCGAGUUCGCUUCUUCAAGAGGAUCGCGAUCCUAAUCGCGAGUCGCCGUUUUAUCGGCGACCUUCGCUCCCCAAUCUCCACUGGAGAUGUCAUCCGUCGUCGCCAAGCGUAGACAUACAUCCAAUCCAGACCGCAUCCUCCAACAGAUCCCAGGUUUUAAUUACUAGUAUUCCCUAUCAGCUAAUUAAGUAAUUUAUCUUUGCAUACAUGAUGCCUAUAUUGCGCACAGCAAAGUGUCCUGUGUAUUGCUAUGGAUCCAAACUUGACUGAUACUUGUUCAAAAACUUUUUAAAAAACCUGGUUUUGUUAGAUAUAUUAGUAAAAAUAUGUUAGGUUUCACCCAGUGUAUAUAUCAUUUCUGUUACCAUAAAAAAAUGUUGUGCUAAUCGCUAAGCUAAUGAACUGCUGCAAUGCAGGGAGAUGAUUUUGAAAGCGAGCUUGGUUCAGGGUCUUCCAUUCAUGUUCUAUCAGGGCAACAGUUUUGGUAAUGGCCACUUCACUUGUCACGUUGUACUCAUUCAUGUAACACUCUACAGUGCUUGCCAUAUCCCCCUUGCAUUUUCGACGCUGUAUGAUGACAUCAAUAAUCAUCUUUAUGUAAGUAUGUAUCAAUUUAAUAAUCUUGCAUGCACUCACAAUGAUAGUACAAACUUGGUAACUGAGCCCUGCCCCCUUUUCCAUAGGUGCCAACACAUUUCGAUGUGUACAAAUUUAUAAAAAAAAUAGACCAAUGAAGUUAAGGUAGCAUCAUAAAAAUGACAUUGCUAAAAAAUAAUUCUAAGUAUAAUCCAUACUAUGAUAUUUUUUGUCAAAUAAAUCACAUUUUAGCACUCAAAUUGUUGGUCAAAAUUAUAUCUCAGUAUGCUUGAAAUUGAGCUUCUUACAUGUGUGAAAGGAGCAAGUAACAUGCAUGCAAAAAAAUAAUUUUGAAAUAUUAUAUAUAUAUACCUCAAAUGCACCGAUAUCAUUCAUGAAACGGGAAAUCUUCCCAACUGAUAUGACGACAUCCGGGACACUAGCAGCCCAUUUGAGCGCUGUCUUCAUCAUUGCAUCACUCAUUCCAGCCAUCAUACUCACACAUAUCGUUGGCACACCAAUGUUCAGACUAGUCAACUUGACCUGAUCUACAAAGCUUGGCUUGUGGUUCCUGUGUGACCAUUUCGCUUCUUGUAGGUAACCAGUCACGUUAUUUUGGACCUGCACACAAACAAAGAGAUGUAAUCCCAAAAUUAACGAGAAGAGAGAGAGAGAGAGAGAGAGAGAGAGAGAGAUGUUGUGACAGAAAAGGGUACAUGAACUUACCGCUUUUUUCAGGUGUGCUAUAUCGUAGUUCGUAUUGGCUAGCAUUUCAGCCUCAAUAUUCUCAAAUGUCCUCAGCAUCUCCAUAUAGAACUUCUUCAAGUACUCCGGCAGGAGAAAAGGGGCGCUCUUAUCCCAUCUUGAAGGCCAAUUCACAAAAGCAAUCUUAAUACAAGUUAUCGUAGUUUGAAAAUUCUUUGUUUGCAUGUUAACCUAACCUUUUAUUUUUCUAUACUCUUUAUCUUUCUUCAACACAGUAAGAACCACUAGUUUCACUUUGCUCCAUGAGGCAAAUAGUGUAACAUGACAUCAAAAUUUCAUUAUAGGCAAUAUAUCUCAUUUGUUACUGCAUUUAGAUUUUCUUUCAUCCAUAUCUUAUUAUGGCAACUUAUAUGUUUGUGUUAAUAAAAUAAUAAUCUAAUCAUGCAUCACAUUUUCAUUUGAAAUUGCAAUUGUAACCAGAUAGUAGUGAGCAUUAGCUCAUUACUUGUAUGUACCAAUGAGUGCUAUUGUGUUAGGACUUAUGAAAAUUUCAUGUCAACAUGGAAUUUUAGCUGUGGAUCUGCCCGCGCGCGUGGAUGGGGUGGGGGCACCGGGCAAAUUGAUAAUUCACCAUCGGAUUCAGCUCGUCCACCUCUGGAUGCCGUGAUUAUCCAAAGAAUAGUAAUAUGCUCCUGGUUUGAAGCAUUAUUUGUAUACCAUUUUUUUCUUGAUAGAAUUGCACUCUUAUGGUCACGGCAAUGCAGGGUCUUCAUUUACUUCUUCUUAAAUACUAAAAUAGUUAUUAUCCAGUACAUACAUGUUCGUAAUUACUUUAUCACUUCGAACAUCAUGGAAAAAUCACGUUGCGCACAUAUUUAUGACUGUGAUUGCGAGUGAUUCUAAGGACGUAUUGAUAUGAUAUGGAAUCGCUAUCUUAGUGGAAUAUACAUUAGAUGCAUUGACAAUUUGAGAGAUAAAAUGUAGAGCUAAAUCAAUCCCACCUUUGUAUUGCUUCAUGUAGCUUCCAACUGUCCUCUAGGGUGGCAUGGUUAUCAUAUAUGUCAUCUAAUGUGGUAAUUAGUACAAUCAUCUUUGUGAUCAUACUUCGAGUGAGCUCAAAUUUUGUGUCAUAGUACAACACAGAGGCCCAUGUAUAACCCUCCACCACACGAUCGCGGAUAAAGCUUAGCUCGAUAUAUCCUAAAAAAUGCUUCCACCACCUGUGAAUUAAUUAAGCAAUGUUAUCUGAACUAGUACAUAUAUUGUCCACAUAGAAUAUAACAUCGCUAGCCCCAUUAAGAGAUAAAAGAACAUUGGUCAAUUAUUACUAAAAGCAUGUGCAUUACUCUAUCACUACGCCAUUUAUGUAAUUAUCCUACAAUGCACAGAAAACAACGAAACACUAAAGCAUCAUGAACCAUUAAUGAAUAUGCAUUCUCAUAUUGAUGAAAAAAGGCACGUAAGCUCUUAAUUUAGAUGACGUUAAGCACUAGAAAUGUAGUGGUAACUAGACUUUUGGUUUUUUGUUUGUUUGAAGAUGUAGUAUGCGAGGGCAACCACCCGUGAAUCAUUAUUGGGUUAUAUAUUCUGUUUAUAUAAGAAAGAUAAAUAACAUACCUGGUAAUAGCUUUGAGCUCCUUCAAGUGGACAUUUUGCUGAAGGUUGAAAUCCAAUUUGGCAAGCUCCAGUAGGAUUGGGUUAUGCUCCUCUUGUUCGUACUCUAGGAUAUAAUGUAGCAUUUCCACCCUCUUAUUUGUCCUUGGCAUUGGUAUCUGAAGGGCACGUUGGACUUGUUGAGCAAGUGGGGUCUUUAAACUACCACUACAUGACUCAAGAUGAUGCCUUGCAAAAGCUAUGGCUUCUUCAAGUGCUGGCUCACCAUGAAAUAGAAGAUGAGAUGCAUUGUAUAGACAUAAUAGUGUCCUGGGUUCAUUUGUUAUAUCAUUAAUGAAGCUUCCAUCUUCACUUUUGAAUCGAUUGAAAACAUCUGUAAUCAAUAAAUAAAUGUUGGUGUUCUCGUGACCACAUUGUCAAUGGAGCUUCUAUUGUUGUAGACAUGCCGUCCACAUUAUGAAAUAUUUUGCAAAUAAGGUCACCAAUCUAAUCUUGAUAACUCAAUUUCUUAGCCAGUUAAAAAUUUGCAUAUCAUGAUUUUUCUUCCAUAAUUUUUCGUAACCAACUAUGCAUAACAAGAAAAAAUUGUUAGGAUUAUAUAUACCUGGAGAUACACAGUAUCCAUGUUCCCUCAGCAAGCGAAACCGAAGGGCAACUUCAUAGAGGUUGUAGUUACUAAAUUCACUCUUCAGGAUUUGCCACAUAGCGGUGUCAAUCUGGUCUUCAAAGAGGUGAUCGAUUCCGAGAUGUUGUAGUUUAUCCACUAAGGACAUUUUUACCACUGUGUCAUUGCUGGAUUUAAACAACAUACAUAUGUCUUCCUUCAGUUUUUUUGCCCUAAGCGUCAUCCACUGCUUGGAUUUCUGCAAUGCAAGCAUUGAACAUUUUUAAUUAACCAAAAGGGACAAGGGUUAGCUAGGUAAAAAAAUGUCGCCAAAACCAAAAAUAGUUGAAAAAAUCUAACAACUCGUAUCUCCAGUGAAAGAAAAUGGACCAAAAGUACAUGACUGUAUAGAAUAACCAUAUAUCCUUUCACUGAGUCCAACUUUCCAACAUAUGCCAACCAAAGGCUACCCACAUGUAUCUUCCAAGGGUGUCGGUCGUGGCCAGCAUAUUUAAUUUCAAAAGCAUGCAUGUGGUUUCAAGUUGUUUCCACUCAAGCAUGGAGUUACACUAGACGAUUUACUUAUGACUAUGAGUGGUGUUGAUGAUAUACAAAAUAGACAUCCAAAAUAUGACAAAUUUCUACCGCCGGAUAUGUGAAAUAUAAAGUCUGUACACAUAUUCAGAUACUAUAAGAAGUGUCGACUAGUGAAGUACACACGAUAAGCAACCGGUUGACAUGGAUCUCUAGAGGAGCACGGAUGGUAAUUAGAAAUGUGUUCCUACUUGGGCCCGCAAGUGGUGGGUGCAUGGUGUACAUUUUGGCACCUCUUGGGCUGGCCCAGCGUAGGCCGGAGUAGUAGAUACUAGUACAAAAACGCAUACAAUAGUUACAAAUAAAUACCUCUGUGCAUGGUGACAUUUUGUGCCAUAAAUAGUUAGCUUUUAUUAUAUACCUGUAACGGCGGUGGCUCAUAUCCAGCAAAGAAGUCGAUCCAUGGUGAGGGCUCGUAGCUGAACGCAGGAGUAGCAGCAUUGCCGGACGCCAUAGAAAUUAACAGUUGCUUCUUUGUUUCAUAGGUUUAGUAGCUUGGGAUAUAGAUAGCUUUGUUUGGGGAGGAAGGAGAAUGUGUGCGUGAGGCCUUUAAAUAAUGUCCACGCAAUGGCAGGUCCAUGCAUAUUUCUCAUCGUUAGCAGCCGGCCGGCCGAACUAUAAAGGCGACUGCAUGCACUACUAAUCUACCUACCUUCCGGUUGAUUAUCCGGUAGUGCCUUUAGACCCGCCCGAUUGAUGGACAUAAAAUCAUCUAUUUCCAACGUGAAGAAAUCUAUUUUAGCUUGCUAUAUUUGUGGCUUGCACUGUUCCUUAGUCAUUUUGUCUGUUUUUUACAUGUCACAUAGUAUUGUCAUGUUUAUGUUCAGAAUUUACAUCCACAUACUUGUAACCAUCCUCUCUAUACAUGAAUCUUUUGUAUUCAUUUAUUUUGAAAAUUGAAUAUUUAUCUUAUUUUUUGGCAGUUUGGAUAUACCUCAGAUCAGAAUAUUCUAGCCCUUUCUGGGUGCGGUUGUUUGUUGUACAUAUACUUAAUAGAAAAAAACUGGUUGCCAAAUUUACAUUCAAUUUGUGUUGUAAUCCAAAAUAUCACACUAAUUUAAACUUGAUAGAGCAUGUAAAAAUAACAAUUCAAAACUAUGUUAAUUUGUGUAGAAUGUACAAAGAAAAAUAAUGGACCUGCCAAAGUUAAAUCAAAGUUUACUUUCAGGAAUGUAUUUCUUGUCGCAUGUAUUAUAUUUAUCUUCAUAGGAUGGAUCGUUGGUCAAAGACCAUGGCAGCCCCUAGAUUGCAUCUCAUAGCAGACGCACCAGGAGCAUUACAGAGUUAGCUCAAUGCAUGCAAUUGGCGUGACAAUGUAUAGUCAGCAAAACACUGAUGCCAAUUGUUGUGAUCACUCAUCAUGCAUGCAGGUCUCUUAUGCAUAGAGCCAAUAAUCCAUUGUACAUCAUUUUUCGAUUAUACUACAUCAAGUUUAAGAUGAAUGCAUGAUGCGUAUUAGCAGUCGGGCGAAUUAUACUAGAUAGUCCCUCUUCUGAUUUAUAAGGCCCAAGUGUAUCCCUAAAUUAAUCGUUUAAUCAAAGUAACACCAAAUGUAUAUCACAAAUGGUAUAUAUUUAGAAGUUUUCUAUGGAUUAUUUUUAUUGUGAUAUAAUACUAGCAUUAUGUUGGUCGAAUUGAUGAUUAUUCAGUACAUGUGGGCCUUAUAAACUGGAGAAUGAGUACAAUGAAAAUACUGCUAUUCUACUACAUGAUUGAACUGUGUGUUGUGCUUGCUGCCGCUUCCUGCAGAGGAAGGAUAGGUAGUCACAUGUGCCUGCUCCACCAUCAGAGACCCAGGGAGUACAAAAAAACUCUAGAUAGCUAACACUAAUAAUUUAGGGCAUGCAUUCAUUACCAUCGUUAUGCCAUGUUAUUAAAGUAUCAUAGCUUGACGGCAACUCCCCCUACCUAACCAUAGCUGCCCGGUCCAAGAUCUUAACUAUUUUUACCUGUGAUCCAUCGCCUCUACUAAGUCGUGAGGUUGGGAGAUGCAAACAUUAUAGCUUUUAUUUGAGGUCUUUUUUUUCUUGACUAUGUCAACAACACCAGCGCCUUGCGAAAUACUAGUUCUCCUUCUCCUUAAGUUGUCCUUCUAUGUUGAUCUAGUUUUCAGGAUCAUGUGGUCUAGUAAACAAUGCUAGGGAUUUUCGUUCAUGGUGUGUUGAAUAAACUUUGUGCCCUAUUCCAGAUGGGGAGGGAAUUCAAGAGUUUUUAUUUGCUGAAGAUAAAGAUAAAACAUUUUUUGCUAAAUGAAAAGACAAGCCCACACAUGAGAUACCUUCGGGAACAUUUAUCCUUGGUCAAAUACAACGGCCCGCAAAUUGCAGCGAUGUUUUGUAUAAUUGAAGUUUCAUGGAUCUUAUAGCAGUCUCUCAUGGAUCUUAUAGCAUCGUUGGCUCGGCAGCGGUGGCGGCCGAUUCCCUCGAGACUAAGGCAUAGUUGAGGAUUUACCGCCUGGGCCGGUUGAUCCGGCAGCCAUGAGGUGAGGCGGUAGGACCAGUGAUAUGUAUUUGUCAGUGUGACGGCUCGUUGCCAUUCAGUAGUUGCGGUGGUGCGGCAGUGCGAGCGACGGAGGGCGCGGUGGAUCUGACUUUUCAGCGGUACAGUGGUGGCGUCUUUGGCCGGAAGCGGCCGGAUUCGAACGGAUUUGGUAGCAGCAGCUGAGUGGGACGGGAGGCUUUUCUGCAUGUUCACCUAAGGGAAUGUUCCGGAUGGUGGUUUGACUGCACGCGGCUGCGUUUUUGUUUCGCGGCUGCGCAUGGUGUUGUAUAGUUGCAACACAAGAGGGUGUAUUUUAGGGCUGCCUCUAGUUAGGACCACAAAAAUAUAGAGAUUGGGAAGCUGUUGGAGUACCGUUUUUAUGUCAAAAUGUCGUAAAGAGCAUUUUCUUUGCGCCUCUACUAUAUUUUAAAUCACGUAUUGGAGAUGCUUUAUGUGUGUUCAUUUUCUCCAUAGGUGUCGCCGCCUCCUUCAAAUACUUGCCCCUAAGUGUAUGCAUAUGAGGGCAAAUAUUGGUGGUGCACGAGUCAGGUGAAGGUGCGACCUGGUGCAGCUUAAGCCAUUUGCGAGCGGGUGCAUGGGACGGGUCGUUGACACUUAGGCUGGUCUGGCUCAGCCAUUCGACCGGUUUGGGUGCAGAGAAAAGGAUGGAAAGAGGGAAACUUUGACAUGGCGUAACCAUGACGGGGCUUUUGUUCACCCUCGAUUUAGCAGAUUUUGUCUCCUACAAAACUAUUGGUGCAGGAAUUCAAAAGUUUUAGUUUUCUCUAAGAUGAAGCCGUUGUGCAGGUAAUAUGGUACUGGUUCCUAUUUUGCAUGUCUGUCGUGGUUGUGGUUGUGGAAAUUACUUCAUCUAUCGUUUACUAGAGAAUUUUCUGGGUCUUGUAAUUCGUUUGGUAACCGUUCUUUUGUUUGGUUUAUCAGCCUAAUGCAAUGUGCCAGUUUCUCAGCAUAGGCCGAGUAGGUGGGUUUCUUUUCGUUUGGACGUGUGGUGCUUAUGAGAUCGCAAACUGGCUACAAAGAAAAGGACAUGUACGCGGUGUAAUUUGUGCACUGCUUCUCUUGCCACAUGUUUUAUUGUUAUCUUUAUAUAUAUGAUUGAUACUUUGUCAAAGAUAACAUCGUCUAGAUUGCAUCCACUUUUCAUAGCAGCCGCACCAGCUGGAACAGUAUAAGGCACAUACCAUCGUGAGUGUGACAAUCAGGCCUAUCUUUAUGUAGUUGUGACCACUCAACGCAUGCAUGCGUCCACGUUUCUCACCGUCAAGUAGCAGCCGGAGGAAUCCGGUAUAUGAUCUUGUGCGUACUGGGAAUUCGGUGCGACGUCCACUAGAUCGACUUUAAGAUCUGCUCUUCACUGGGAAUGUUAGCAGCCGGUUGAAUCAUUUUUAGUAUACAUGCCAUGACGUCUUUAUGUUCUGCCCCACUAGUUCAAGAUCCAUGCAUGCAUUCAUACUCUAUUUUUAGCAGCCGAUAGGAGUCACCUUCAACUACAAUGUAUUGUUAGAGGGUAAUAUAUAUGGACGAAAACGUCACAGGACAGUCGGACAUCAACAAAUUACCAUUAGAUUAGAUAGACACGUCUCACCUCCCUGCGUGCCCGCACACUUUGUACCAUGCUAAUUAAUUGUAUGUGAGUAAUUUAAUGUGUUGCUACCUUGGAAAUGUAGUUGCAUUCAGACACAAGAGGAACAUAAAGUAUUUGUAAGGGCCUCCUUUAAGUUGACAGGAUAAUCCUCCAUCUGUGCCAAACGAAGCUAGCAAUCACAUUGCGCCAUGAAUCUAAAUUUGGCCUCGCGAGGGUGAGCUAACUCCUAUUCAGAUGGCCACGGGUCUAAGCGGGGAAAAAGAAGAGAAAUAAAGGACAACUACCAUGCAGCCUACACUCGAACCCAUGGUGAGGAUGUGAGGAAAAAGAAUAGGAAAAGACUCUGUGUUGUGGCCCUAGAAAGCUCUAAGGAUCAGUUUUGUUUGCAUCCUCAUUGUUUCAAGCCUGGCCUGGAGCACGCAUGUGAUCUUCCUGGGCGGUGUUUGUUUAGUUCCUGGAAAAGAUCGUAGUGCCCGGGCCUGGAUAACCAAACAUGACCAGCUAUUAGUCUACCAGGCUUCUGAAUUCCUGGUCCUGCGCACCGGCUAAUAGCUGCCUGGCCUCUAAUACUAGUAUAGGGACUUGUGCCAACCAGUAGGACUCUCUUUAGUUUUUGUGCGGACAUUUAUUCCUUAGUACGAGUACAUCAGUCCAGGUAGGAACCAAACACAUCUCUGCCUAGCUUGCCUGACCAGGCACGAAAGAGAAAAUUCCCAGGCAGAGUACAGGCAGCAAUAUUCUUCAGGCAUGGUGUCCAGGGUAGUAACCAAACUAGCCCUAAAUAAAAAUAUCUAUGACCAAACAUUAUGCAUGUACGUAGGAGGCAAAACUAGGCGUCAAACUGACUUCUAACGUCGGCUCAAUAUCAAAAACAUCAUAUAUAUUCUUGUAAACCUGAUAGAGUAUGUGACAAAAUUAAAAAUCAAUUAAAACAACAAAUUCCUGGUAGCUAGCAUUCAUAACUAAAAGGUACCUUUCUUUUGCUAUUUUCAGGUCUUGUAGUUCAGUUAGUAAUCGAUGUUUUGCCUGAUUUAUUAGUUUAAUGGAAUAUGUAGGUUUUACGUCAUAGUUCGAGUACGACAGUGCUUUCUUGUAACAAGUUUUAGUGUUAUCUACGUAUGAUUGAUACUAGGCCAAAGACAAUGCUGCCUAGAUUGCAUAGAUGUUUCACAGCAGCCGCUCCAACCAAAACAUUGCAUGGCUAGAUUACAGAAAGGCACAGAUCAAUCAUGGGCGUGACAAUGCAUAUAGUAAUCAGGUAUAUCUUGCACGUACUUCGUGGGUGUGACACGCAUUAGAUGCAUGCAUGGCGCAUGUUAGCAGCCGGACGAAUGCUGGUGGGAUGCAUGCGAGUUCAAGACAAUCUGCUCCAUAAUUGCGCUAAUGCAUUCAUGUUUGUUGCUUUGUUAGCAGCCGGCGGAGUCACAUUCAACUAUAAUGUUUUAUUUAGAUAUACGGAUGAAAACAUCACAAGGCAGUCACCACUCAAUAGUAUAGUAUUAAGAUUGACACCGCAGUCACCAUUCAUAUAGUCAUUUGCGGUGGCAACUAAAAGAUAUAAUAAAUUUGUUGAGAAAUAUAGGUGCGCUUUGACACAAGAAGAGCAUAAAUAUUUUAAUGCGCCUUCUUUGAGUUAGGGCCAUAGAUAUCUUGUUCCAUGUCCACCAACCGAACCUAGCAAUCACAUUCUUCCAUAGAUCUAAACAAAGAAAGAUAGAAUUAAAAUAUGAUAAGUGGUAGCAUAGUGUCUGUUACUGGUCUGCCCAUGAUGUAUUAAGCAGCACUAUCAGCUUGGUGGGCAAUUAAACAAGACAUGAGAGAGAGAGAGAGAGAGAGAGAAAACAAGUGCUGGGUCUAUGCAAUUACCGUAGUCCUUUCAGAAAAUGAGUGACUGAGAUAAUUGUUUUUCUGUGAAAUCUUAUGAGUAGGGCGCACAUUUCCUUUUGAUUCAUAAUAAAAAACAGUUUAUUUUAUGAGAAAAUGUUGGUCAAUAGACUAAACCAGAUGUGAACAGUGCAAAAGCUCAGAGAGUAGAAAAACAUCAAGCUACAUUUGGCCUACAGCAUGCCAAGUCAGUAACCUAGUGCUGCUUGCACGUUUGAUGCACCCAUGAAUGCUUGGGCGAGGCCAUUACUGUUAGCAAAGUCGGUCCAAAGGAACCGGAUCUAAUUUGAUAAACCUAGCAGUACAUCUUCCAAAAGGAUCCAAAAGAAACAAAUAAGAAGAAAUUAUAGGUCAGUCCUUGCAUUUUACACGGAGGAUAUCAGACCAUGAAACUAGUUUGAAAUUUGGUCCAUACAACAUGCAUCAAUACAGUAACUAACCCAUCGUCACCAGGGGCAAUUUAAAAAGUGCAAACUUCGUGUUUUGGUACAAUCAAUAGUUUGUGUCAUCCACCAUAAUAUAUUGCAAGUUCAAUGAGGUUCUUUUAUUCUUAUUGGUGCAAUGAUACAUAUUGGUAUACAUCAACAAAAGUACAGACAUAUCUACGUGGCAAUGCACGUCCAUCUAUGUCUAUGUGGCAUGGAAACCUCCACGGGAAAUAGGUAUCAAUUGUAGGUCAUAUUUUCUUCCUACGAUGAUCCCAUAUUUCUCGGUCAUGUCCAAAAAUUCCGGGUUUGCCUUGCCAGGAAGCACCCAGUCGAAGUGGUAGAGAAGAUUUGCCAAGGCGAUCUCCAU
Molecule: long non-coding RNA, 67280 nt
Filed under: Triticum aestivum (bread wheat)
Lineage: Eukaryota; Viridiplantae; Streptophyta; Magnoliopsida; Poales; Poaceae
Description: long non-coding RNA (TAES_LNC021687)
Source: RNAcentral